AAGGAGUUACUCAAUCUUUUCCCCAGCAAUCAAUUUUUGAGGAACAUUAUCUAAUGCUUGCAUGUGCAUAGGCAUUGCAUGUAACCCUUUCUCUAGUAUAAGAGGAGGACCAUAGUUGUGUACUGAUAAUAAACUCCAACGUAAAAGUCUCCGCAUCUCUUGAAAUCCAAUCUAUAGCUUUUCUUUUCUUUUUGUUAUGGAGUUGUUCUUGGCAAUGCUUCCACUGUUAUUGUACUAUAUUAUCUUCAACCUUUAUAAGUUAGGAUACCAAAAGAAAGAUCAAUGUUGCUAUAUGCUAAGCUAUGAGUGCCAUAAAGCCGCUGAAGACCAGAAGCUUGAUCCUAGAUCCAGUGCUAGAAUUAUUUCACGAAACAAGAAUCUCGGAAUAGAAGAAUACAAGUUUCUUUUAAAGACUACGGUUAGUUCUGGCAUUGGUGAAGAAACUUAUAUCCCAAAAAAUAUCAUGGAAGGAAGAGAGGAAUCUGCAACUCUUAUGGAUGAAAUUUCGGAGAUGGAUGAUAUCCUUUUCGAUACUGUUGAUAAGCUCUUUGCUAAGACAGGAGUUUCUCCAUCAGAAAUCAACAUUAUUGUCUCUACAGUCUCUUUGUUCUCACCAGCUCCCUCUCUAACAGCUCGAGUAAUAAACCGUUACAAGAUGAGGGAGGACAUCAAGGCAUUCAAUCUCUCUGGAAUGGGUUGUAGUGCAAGUGCAGUAGCCAUUGAUUUAGUCAAGCAACUGUUCAAGACACACAAGAAUUCAUUUGCAAUCGUUAUGAGCACAGAAGCCAUGAGUUCACAUUGGUAUCCUGGAAAAGACAAGUCCAUGAUGCUCUCCAACAUUCUAUUUCGUACUGGGGGCUGCUCCAUUCUCUUAACAAAUAACAGAGAUUGGAAGAAUAAAGCCCUCAUGGAAUUGACUUGUUCUGUACGCACACAUAUCGGCUCUAAUGAUGAAGCAUAUAACAGCUGCUUCCAAGCAGAAGAUGACCUUGGAAUCAAUGGCUUCCGGCUCAACAAAGAUCUACCUAAAGCUGGUGCUAAAGCUUUAACCAUGAAUCUCCAAGUUCUUCUUCCUAAAGUCAUGCCACUGUCAGAGGUGCUCCGCUAUUAUAUAAGCUAUUAUCGAAAUAAAAUAAUGAAGCGGCCAACUCCUAAGGAUGCAGGACCUGGUUUGGAUAUCAAGUCUGGAAUCGACCACUUUUGUGUGCACCCUGGUGGGCGGGCAAUUAUCGAUGAGGCUGGUCAGAGUUUAGCACUCAACGAUUAUGAUCUUGAACCAGCUAGAAUGGCACUUUAUCGGUUUGGAAAUACAUCAUCUGGCGGCCUGUGGUAUGUUUUAGGUUACAUGGAGGCUAAGAAAAGGCUCAAGAAGGGUGAUAAAAUACUAAUGAUCAGCCUUGGGGCAGGUUUUAAGUGCAACAAUUGUGUGUGGAAAGUUAUGAAGGACUUGGAGGACACGAAUGUCUGGAAAAACUGCAUAGACCAAUACCCUCCAAAAACCUUAGCCAACUCUUUCUCUAAGAUCUUAGCUUCGAUCAGUGAUGAAAGCGUGAAUUUCACCACCCUUGAAGAUUACCUACCAUAACAUAAUAAAUCCAGCAGUUAGCAUAAUUAUAUGGUCUGUGAAGUUUGAUUGGAUCAUUGAAUAAAGCAUGAAUUUCGCCAGGCGUGAAGAUUUCAUACCAUAAGAUAAGACAUCCAGUUAUUUGCAUAAUUAUAUAUAUGGUCUCAUGCUGGGGCCUUAAAUUCAUCUGUCUUUAGAUCGACCUUCCUUUCAGCCUCUCCCUGUGUGUUGCGUAUAGUGUGGAAGUAUCUUAAGGUAUAAUAGUGAUGUGGCCCAUAUAUAUCUAUGAUGUUCAUGUAAUAAGUUACAAUAAGCUAUGUAAAACAAUAUUGAUGUAUCGAAUAAACUUAUAUCAUAUCCUUUGUAUCUUAUCUGUACUAAGUUUUCGUGAUCUCUGCAGAUGAACCUGGUUAUUGAUCACCCUUAUAUCAAAUGUUUUUGGGAACAUUUGGAUUUUCGAUUGAAUUAUUACUAUAGAAUCUUGAAGUCUUUCUCCGAAUUGUUUCUUUUACUAUAGAAUCUUUCCUAAUCGAGAUGUGCUCAACCUCCGUAUUUGUUUUAUGGGAUCUUUGAUGUGAAGUUAAUAGAUGAUUCUAUAUUCCGGUGUUCAUAUGAUUAUCUGACAUGCUUAUUCUUCUGCUGUUUUUAGGAAAAUUACUUAGGCUCUUCCAAGAUUUGCCUGCGAUUUUACUUUUCUUCCAUCAUUUCAGAAAUUACAUUUUUACAUAUCACUGUUUAUAAUAUUUAUAACACUUUAUAUACUAAUUUGAGUGCGCAAAAACUAAGUCAACAAAACAGUUUAAGAAAAUUAUAGGAUUGCUAUUGUAUUUGAAUUAAUAGCUAAACAUCACUUAAAAGUUAAAUAUUACAAUAUUGUGAUCAUCAGUGUACAAGUUACAAACUUUCUCAAAAAAAUUAACAAAUAGUAUCCUAUUUUUAAACACCAUUUCUACUCACUAUAUCAUCAUCUACAUCUUCCAUUUUUAAACACCUUUCUCUCCCUGGCCACCAUUAAAACCAUCCCCAAACACUAUUUGCAACCAACAAUCACACACAAACACACCAUUUCCAUGUAAAACACUCACUACCAUAUGAUCAUCUUCUCCCUCACCGCAUUGCCAUAAUUUUUGUGUAUUCCAUCAUUUCUGUAAAUUCUCUUCUUCAUACUAACAUUUAGCAAGUGUGCCCCCACACACACUGGCAUCAUUUCGAUCUAUUUUCUUUUUUAGAAUAACACUCACAUGGAACAUCUUGGCGAACUAUAGGUCAAAUAGGGUAAAAUUAAAAAUGAAUCCCCAUCAAUUUUUAUGGUAAUUAGAAAACUCUAAGUGGUCUUAGAAUUUUUAGAUAAAGGGUUAGUUAUGUGAGCAAAAAGAUAAAAAUCACCCUAUAAAUCCUAUAUAAGGUAAGUUGCUUUGAUAUUCGUUUAAAAAGAAAGAUGUUUGUUAUGCUUGGAGAUUAUAUAAACUAACAUAUUUUUAUUGUAAACAAUACUUAAACUAAAAGAGUGGUUUUGGAUUUGAGCCUGAAAACAACUUAAUCCCUAUUUUGAUAAAAGAUAUGCAUUGGACCCACAAGGAUUGUGAGUUAUAAAUGGACAUGAGACUGUUCUAUAUUAUAUUGAUUGAAAUGGACCCAAAGGCCAACACUCACUCUCAAUGGAUCUAUAUUAUAUCAUAUUGAUCGAACCUAACUUACUCGCAACAUUAAGAAUGAUAUUCCAAAUGCAAAAUAAGUAACACGUAUUAAUAUGAUUAUAGAUGUGUAAUCAUCAAUUUAAAUACCUUAUAAUAAACACCCAAGGAUAGAAACCAAGACUGGAUGAUUUAAUUCUUGGUUGAGUUAUUAAAAUAAGUGACACCUUAUACAUCAUAAUUAAUAAAGCACAUAAUAAAUGGCAUAAACAUAUAAUUGCCAAUUCAAAUACCUGAUGCUCAAAAUCCAUGGAUAGGAGCCUAGAAUAGGUCCUCUAUUCCAAAGUAGAGUUCUCAUAAAAGAUGACAAUUCAUGACCUUAAAAGCAUGUAAAUCUUCAUCCCUGAUAUCUUUUAACUUAAUAUGUGGCUCCACUAUAUUUUUCAUUAUUGUUAAAGUUUCUUCAACCUUUUAUUAAUAAUGUAUUUGAGUGUCUCAUUUAAUAAAAAAGUAACAACUCUUGUAGAAUGAAUCCAAGGUCUUCCCAAUAAUUUAUUGUCGGUUAGUUGGAUGUCUAUUACUUAAAUAACUUGGAGUUGAUGAAGCCUAAUGUUUAAAACAAUUUCAAUAUUAAUGUUAAUUUGUGCUAUUAUCCCAUCAUUAGUGAGAGCCAUCAUUUUCUGCAACUCAUUAAUUUGGUCAUUUAUGAAAAAUCUAAUGUUUGUCCCUUAAAAUAAGAGACUUAUAAUUUAGACUUUGUGUUGAAAAAAUAGGUGUUGGACUUGUAUGGAUGGUAGAAAUAGAGAUUUGGCCCCACUCUUUUAAAUAUAUCCAAAAUGAGUCUGAAAGGCGCCACAAAUACAUAAUAGGCCUAUGUGAGGAAACAUUCAUUCAACCUAGUUCCACUCAUAACAAUAGAGAUAAUAUGUUGUAACACAUAAAAAAUUAUCAAGAACAUAUUUACAAAAAAAAUUACAAAAAAAAACAUAAUAGUUUUACUUAUUAUUAAAUCAUAUGUUGUCACUUCGAGAGUGUCUCACCAGUAGAAUAAUAGUUCACUAUAUGAUGGAAAAGUGAAUCAAGAGAUUAUUGUCAAAUUCACCCUUCAACUCACCACUUCGUGUUUAUUAUUUUGGAAUGCAACCUUCAACUCACCAAUUCAUGUUCAUGUUUAAUAAGCAAUUUAUUUUAAAAACAAAGCAACAAUUCAUCAAAACAGCAUGCAAUCAUUUUUUUAUAUUUUAUAUUUUUUCAUCUUUUUUUGUUUUAUGUGAAAACAAUCCUAUAGUAUAAUUUUUUUUUUGGAAAACACAUUUUCAAUGCACAUUCAUAUACAAAACAUAUCAUGUCAAAAAAUUCAACACGCAAGAAAAUCAAACCACAUACAUGUCACAUCUAUGCAUAAAAUUAUCGGCACACACAAAACUAAACACAUGAAAACAUAAAAAAAAUAAAAAAUCCAACACGUUAAAAUUGUUCAAAAAUUCAUUCAGGGUUUGAAAUCAUCCUUCGAGAGUCAUUAGAGUUACCGCGAAUUAUGAGAACCGAGAGGAACAAUGUUGUCAAACUAGGUAGUGUUAGCAUGGGAACACAUGUUGCCUCUGUUGGUGGUUUUUUGUCGAUCGAAAAUGUCCUUCCUUUUUAUUUUGUUCUAUGCUAGCAUUGAAGAAAAUAGAGGCCUAUAGAUGAAGACAUCAAGAAGGUUCAAUUGUUUUUUCUUCUUAUAUCUCUUAGUCUUUUUUUCUAUUAUUUUCUCUCUAUAUUAGUUUUUCUCUUUGUACCAUAGGUUGGGUUGUUGUUCCUAUUGAGUUAUCAUUGUUUAUGAUUAUAAUAAGUUGUUGGCAUGGUGGAGAGAAGAAGGCCACUCUUAGUUGUAACUACAAGAUCAUCUUAUUGGCCUAAGAUGAAAAGAUAUAUGUAAUGAAUUUAUGAUAGAUGUAUAGCAUGUAGACAAGUUAUAUCUGAAGUUUAUCUCAUGGUUUAAAUACUCCUUUACUAGUGCCUCAUAAACCUUAGAUUGAAAUAUCUAUGAAUUUUAUUUUAUGUUUGCUCAAAUAAAAAAUAGAUAAGGAUUAUAUUUUUGUUAUGAUGAAUAGGUUUUCUAAGAUGAAACAUUUGAUGUUUUAUCAUAAACUAAUGAUGCAACUAACAUAACAAAUUUAUUAUUUAGGAAAAUAGUUUGGUUCCAUGGGAUACAUAGCAGCAUUGUGUCUAACCAUGAUGUUAAAUUUUUUAGAUACUUUGGAAGGUUUUAUAGGGGAAAUUAAGAAUAAGAUUGUUAUUUUCUAAUACUUGUCAUCCAUAAACAAAUAGUCAAACUAAAAUAGUUAAUAGGACUUUAACUACAUUAUUAAGAACUAUUAUUCAAAAGAAUUUAAAAAACUAGGAAGAUUGUCUGUCAUUACUAAAUUUUCAUAUAAUAACAAUGUGUAUUUUACAACAUAUUAUUCUUCUUUUAAAAUUUUUUAUGGCUUUAAUCCUUUGAAUUUAUUUCCUUUACCUGUUAAUGAAAAGAUUAGUCUUGACGACAAUAGAAAAACACAUGUAAUAAAGGCUUUCCGUGAGAAUAUGAUGUGAGAAAUACAAAAAAGAAUGAGCAAUAUGUAUUCAAAGAUAUGAAUGAUGAAAUAAGGUUAUUUUUUAACCAAGUGAUUGGGUUGAGUGUAUAUGAAAAAAAAAAAAAAGAUUUCCUGAACAAAGAAGAUCUAAGUUGAUACCGAGAGGAGAUUGACCAUUUCAAAUCCUUGAAAGAAUUAAUGAUAAUGCUUGCAAAUAAAUCUACAAGGAGAGGAUGGUGUUGUGCUACUUUUAAUAUUUCUAAUCUCUUUUUGUUUGAUGUACGCUAUAAUUCAUGGAUGAAUUAUUUUGAGGAGAGAGGGGAUGAUACGAUCAAGAUUACACCAAAAGAUCCAUUGCAAGUUUCAAUUGGUCUAAUUACAAGAUUAAAGGCAAACAAAGCUCAAAUAUGCAUUCAAUGAGUUUAUUUAGAGUAUUUGAGCCAAGAUGAAUUUCAAGAAGUCUUCAACUUCAAUAAGUGAUAAUCAGGCUUUAGUCAAUCUAAUUUAUGUAUAAGAGAGGCUUAAUCCAUCUAUAACAUAGACCUAAUUAUUUUGCAAUGUUGAGCUAAUUAAUUUCAAUAUUAUAGGCAAUUUUGAGCUUAUUUUCCAUAAUGCAUAUUUUUUACCCUAACAAGAAUAAUUUUCAAUUUGACCCUUGAAUUGGGGUAAAAUUUUACCAAAAGUUUCUAGAGAUCUUAUUAUAUAUUGAGUUAAUAUUUUAGGGAAAUCGAGCUUCAAGAAGGCCUUAUGAUAAGGUCUAAAAGCUAAUGUGUGAGAAUUGUAUUACUUUCCUAAUUGAUUUAGGAUUAUUUUUCACAUUUUAUUUAGAACUCUUUUAAUAUUUUUUCAGAAUUUUUUAGGAUAUUUUUUUUUAUUAUAAAUAAGGUUAUUUAGCUUGUAUUUAAGAUUAUUUUUACAGACUUUAAUUUCAAGAAUUAUUAUUUUGUGUGUGAGGUUUUGCUCAUAUUUGUUUUUUUCAUUGAACUAUAAUUUAUCAAAGAAUUAACCAAAUUUCAUGACAUCUUCUAUACUUCUCUUUCAUGUCUCUUUAUAGGCGUUGGUUAAGGGUUGGUUACUUAUAGUCUUGGUGUCUUAGUAUAGUUUAUCAUUGUGUUAAGCUCAAUCAUAAGCCUAAAUUUAUCUUUUUUAGGCAUGGUCAAUUUGAUUAUGGGUUUCUAGAUAUGUAUAUCCAUAGGGUUCGCAUCAGCAUCGCCCACCCAUUUUCUUCCAUUACCUUCUCUCACCACCAUUUAUACCCCUAAAACCACCAUAAAAAAAAGGAUAAAGUAAGCCACUCAUUCAAGCUUUUUGCAAUAAAAAGUGACUUUUAGGGUAGAGAUUCAUCGCAAUAAACCAAUGUUCCCUAUCAAGUCAACUAGUAGAGCUUAUAGAAGCAUUUCCCCCACUUUAAAUACAGGGAAAAGAAAAAAGAUAGACCCAUAAUUAAAGAAUGAAAAUGCCAAAUAAAGAGUGUCGCAUAUUGUGCUGCGGUGUUAUGGCGAACGUUGUUUUGAAAUAUCCAUGUUAUAGAAUGUGGUAUGGGGAAAUGGAUAGGACAAUGACUUCUUUUCCUUUAUCAAUGGAAAGAGGAAAUGAGAGUCGCCACAUAGUAUUUUGAUUAUUAGGAACUUUAACUUGCUUUAACGAUCGGGCAUAAGGACUGGUAGGCAUAAGGACUGGUAGCAUAAAGGAAAUGUAUUAAUAGCCCUAAUACGCCUUAUCUAAGGUAAGCUGCAUUGUUUGAUUGCCUCAUAUAACUGGAGUAUCAUUGUGUUUUCUAAUUGUUAGUCUGCCUCAGGUUUAAGAAAAGUCAUCUUCAGUAAAGAGAUUCUUAUCUUAUCGGGUAAAAACCUAACCAUUCUAAUGUUAACAAAAAAAAAACUAUUAUUUAAUAUUAGAAAUACAUCUUAUGUAUAAGUUCAUAAUCUUAGUGACUAAAAGAAAACAAAAUAUUUUUUUACGUAUUUUAGAAAUAUAGACCAAGUUCUCAUGAUUUUAAUAAAUUAGUUAUUAAAGCUCAAAAUAAAUGCUAACACAUUUUUUUUAAUUUUAUUUUGCAUGAAAAUAUGAUAUGAGAUAUUGGUUUUUAUAUUUUGAGAGACUUGGCCGAAUGCAUGAAAACAAGGCAUUUUGUUUUGUUAUAUAUAUAUAUUGUAACAUUUUAGAGAAAACCAGGUAUUUUAAUACCUGAUUUGUAUUUUUACAAUAUAAAAAUACAAACCAAUAUUAAUCAAAAUGGGUAGAAAAAUACGCAAGGAAAUCACAGAUGUUUUGAAAGAAUUUUUGGAAUUUUUAGAAUUGUUUUUUGGUUUUUUGUAUUUAAUAUAUAAUACAAUAUUAUUAUUAUUAUUAUUAUUAUUAUUAUUAUUAUUAUUAUUAUUAUUAUUAUUAUUAUUAUUAUAUAUUGGGUUGGGCUCAACCCAAUUAUAUGGGUUAAGCCCAUCCUGGUUAGGCUGAGAUCGACCUAAAAGAAAUUAAAUCGAGAUCAGUCUAAAUAAGGGUUGGGCCAAUGGUGACCCAAUAGACUUUACUUAAAGGGAACCAGCCCAGAUGUUUUGGUCUGGAUCGACACUGGUCCAACCUAGGAACAAUGGCUCUCCACUCUUCACGUGAACAGUGGAGCUAGUAGGGGAUGAUGUGAGGCAAAAGAAAAAGUAGAGAAGGGGAGGCUAAGCUGGCGGUGGCGUUGGUGGCAAAAUGAAAGUGGUUCCAGUGGCGAUGGGGAGAAAAAUGAACAUUGCUACUGUUUUUUCUUUCUGUGCAAAGGCACAGGUUUCUUUUUUUUCUUUCUAUUCUUCCUCCUCUCUAUUUUUUGUGCCCUCAUCCUCUAUGUUUUUCUUUUCUUCCCUUCCUUUUCCUUCCUCUGUUUUUCUCUUGUAUUUUGUUUUUCCUUCUCUUUCUAUCUCAUUUUUUUUUGUCUCUCUUUUUCAUCUUUAUUUCUUCCUUUUCUUUCAUUAUCUCCUCCUCUUUAUUUUUUUUUAUUUUUUGUGGGGACCCAAAAAUGGAUAACAACAAAGAGAAAGGAGAAAAAAGAGUUUUGAGCUGAGUUUUUGAAUUUAGUUUUGUUUAGGGGGUAAAAGAGAAAAAUAAGGAAAGAAAAGAAAAACAAAGUGAGAAACCUAAAAAGAGAGAUGCUUAUUAACCUAAAAAUUGAAUUUGUGUGAGUUAAGAUGUAAGAAAGAAUGAGAGAGAACGAAAAGAGAUAGAAAAUGGAAAAACAAAAGUAAGUUUUUUUAUUGGACUCUUGUAAGAAAAACUACUUGAAAACCCCUCCGCUGGUAGCACCAACAUCGUCUCUACCACUAUAAGCAACCACAACACUCCCUUCCUCACUUAAAACCACCUAUAAGGUGAGCUUGAUCCCUUUUUCUUUCUUUUCUUAUUCUUUAUCAUGGCUUGCAAAGAUUUUACUAUUGAAUAUGUCAAAUAAUGCACAUUACAUUAUUCAUUUAUGGUUAUUAUUCAUUCAUGCAUUUUUAUUUUAUUGUCUUCGCAUUCAUGUAAAUAGUUUUGUUUCAUAAAAUUGUGCUUUUUCUUUUUACAUAUGCAUGUAUAUGUAAAAAUUCAAUUUUGAAAGUAGGUUACAAUUCAAAACACAAAUAAUAUAUAUUCCACUAUUCAUGCAUGAUUACUAUUUAUUAAUGCAUUUUAAUUUAUUUUCAUUGACUUCGCAUUCACGUUAUCUUUGUUUUGUAAAAAUGUUCUUUCAUCUUUUUACAUAUACAUAUGAAUGUACAUAUUUAUUUUUGGAAAUACAUUACUAUUCACUUAUAUAUUAUUUUAUUUUUAUUAACUUUGAAUCAACUUAUGAAUUUUCAUCAAGUUAGCAUUAUGUUUUGAUAAAACUUGGGUUUUAACAAUUAGAUCAACAUGUCUUCUAGUUAUAGGUACUGUUGGUUAAAUUUGCAAGUGCACAAAUUGUAACAAGUAAUAAAGUGAUGAGUAGAGUAUCGUCCCACGAGGAUUUUUAAAAAUUACUACUAAUUACCAAUUUUUUUUAAAUUAUGAUCUAUUUGAGGAAUCGAAUAAGAUAGUUUAUGAAACAAAAAUUAAUGAUUAAAAACAAACAACCAAUUGAUUAAAUAUUAAUGAAUUCAAUUGUACUGGUUCUAGGAUUUCUGACUUAUCGUAACUGUGCCUAUAUGAACUUUCUCGAUUAAAUUAAUUACUCCUAAUGUUGAAUAUCAGGUUUUCCUUAUGUAAAUAUUAAUCUAUCUUGAGCAUCAAUAAAUUAAUUCGACAAACAAAUUUCAUAUACUCUACAAAAGUUCUGAACUUGUCGAAAUUUAUUAAGUACUAUAAAACCUGUAACGAUUACAAAAGUUCUUAGGAUAUCUCUAUCCUAUAGAUUUCUUACGGUAUUUCAAACAAUAGCUAAAACAAUUAUCACUUCUCAGUUUCAAAUUGAAUCCUAAAUCAUGCAGAUGUUGGCCAAACACACGCAAGCAUUACACAUAUAAUGAAAUACUCAACAUCUUAAUGUAAUAAUUCAACCGAAAAUGUUUUUCACAUAAUCAUCGAAAGGUUACAUAAAAAAUCCCAGAAUAAAAGUCUACUCCAUAGUUAAAUUAAAGAGAAACAAACUUGAUACGAUGAACAUCACUCAAAAGCAUAGAAUUUCCGUCGAAAAGAUAGGUGUCCUCCCGGUUUUCAAUAGUUUUGCCUCUGCCCCUCUUUUGUUCCCCUUGGUGCCGCCUCCUCUCCUUUUCUUUUCUAUGUUGUAGGAUUUCUACGUGUCUUCAAUCCCCUGUUUUUAGAUCCCCUUAUUUUCUUUUAUAUUGUGGCUUUUUUACCCCUGCAGUAAUGAGGAAAGUUUCCUUUUAUGCAUUAACUUCCUUCCUACUCAGACAUUGCGGGCCCGAUUUGAGGUAUAAAAUGUGCAAAUUCAAAGAUCUUUAUUUCUGGAGAAAUUGUAGAGAAUCAAAUUUUCUUUCCAACAAAGCUGAUCUUGCAAUUUGGACGUCUGAGCGUUGAGAUAAGGGCCAUAAACCGAAACAAUCUUUGCAGUGCAGGAAUUUCGGGCUGGUUCAAUCCUUGUUUUUCAACUCGCUUUUUGGGCUUCGAAACAACAAAACUGAGUUAUAUGCCCUUCAUAUAUUUUGUAGACCUUCAUCUCAGCUAUUUGAAAAUGGUUAUGAACAUCUAGAACUAAAUUGUAUAGCUUCUUUACAGCACAUAAUGAAUCACUAUUUAGUUUCACUACCCGGCUCUACCUGUUCAGUAACCUAAGAUCUGAAAGCACAUUAAUUUCCCACGAGGUCAAUAGUUCAAAAAGAGAUUUAAAAUAUUUAAAAAUCAAGCAUGAAUAGCGGAAAUUAUACAUGCUAAAAAUUCCCUUAUCAGGUACCAAUAUAGUUUUAGUACACAACUAUAAUUUCAUCUUCUUUAACAAGAAUUUAUAAAGUUAUGAGACUGUUAAUGCAGGGUCCGAUGCUAACUCAACGAUCAUCCAUCAAUAAUAAAUAACGUACAAAUAAGUUCAGAAAUAAUUAGGCAGUUAAUGGCAUAUAUGAAAUGAAUUUAGAAAAACAGAUGGCUAAGGUAACCUUUCAUUUGAAAAGAUAUGGUAAGUAUUAUUUUUUUCCCUUAGGUAUAAACAAUCCCUUACUCGAAUUUUUGAAACUAGUUCAUCCUUUGAGAUUCAAAGUCUCCUUGAAAACUCAAUGGAGACUUCAAAAUGUUUCCAAGACUCUCUCAAUGGACAUUUUAAAGCCCUACUCGCAUCGUGUGCAGCAAUAAUCUCCUCUAUAAAUUGUGACAAGGAUUGCAAACUAUUUCCCUUAUUAGUUUUCAUCUCCACCCUUUCCUUUAUAGGUUUUAAUACUAUACAUUGCCCCUUAAUAUUGAAAGUAUAUGCAUUAUUUUGCCUAUAAUGCACAAUGUUCCUAUCAAGAUAUUAAGGCCUUCACAACAAAAGAUGACACACAUCCAUUGACAACACAUCACACCAAUAACACCAAGUUUAUAUAUUUACCUCAGUGCUUUUUUAAGUCAAGUCAAUUUGUAGGGCUUAAUAUAGCUCUUGGUUUUUAGCUAGGCCUUCUUCACUAACUACAAAUACAUCAUAUUUUCAUAGAUACCAUUAUCUAUAAAUAUGUUAUAAACCUUAUCAUUUAUGGUUCACAUCUAGUGGAAGAUGUUAGUAAACCAUCAACCUUCACCUAAAUCACUCUUAAGAGUAAGUAGACUUUUUUGAAUGACUAGGGUAACACCACUAUCUCCAUGCAUAAUCUCCUCACUACUAUUUGAGUCAUCAUGAAUAGAAUCAUCCAUAUCAUUUAUAAGUUACUCAAUAGCUUACUACACUCAAUAGCCCAAUGCCCUAAUUUACCAUGCUUAUAAAAAUAAAUUCUAAAAGUUUAACCAAAACCCUAACCUCUUGUCACUCGAGUUUGCUAAGUAGGUAUAGGUUGGGGGUGGUUGAACUUUUAGUAUUGUUGUGUCCUCCAUCCAAAAAUUCUUACUAAAUGCCUUAGCAACCAAUUGUUUCUUUACCACCAAUACCCUUUGAUAUUCCUAUGAUACUAUAUAUAGGGAUUGAAGGCACAACACAUCUUGGAUGGAAUACCAUAAACCACUCAAAUACAUUACCACUAACUAAUUUUUCAUUUUUACCAAGUUAUUCCUUGCCAUUAAUUGAUAAAAAUCAUUAGUAUAAUAGUUAAGGGAUUUACCACCAUAUUUUAGCAUGCGAAACAUUGGUGCAAGGUUUGUGCAUAGCCAGAAAAGAAGGAAAGGUCCUUUACCAUAUUUUAGCAUUGUAAAGAGGGGGGCAACUGUUGUAACCCAUUUUUGGGUCCCCACAUAUAAAAUAAUAAAAUACAAAAAAAUUCAAAAAAAUAUACUACAAAAAAAAUAUAUAACAGUGAAAAAUGCCAGAGCGCCAUAAACAUGCUAAAAAAAAUUUGUUUGAGGAUUUUUAAAAAUAUAAAAAUUAUUUUUUGACAGUAUAUCAUUAACUGAUGAGAGCCCCGAUGAUAAAGAAAAUUCAAUUUGUGGAAGAAAAAUGCAAAAUCAGAAGUUUAUGGACUCAAUUAAAUUUUAUUGAAGGUUUAAUUGAAUUUAUGGAGAUUUUAAUUGCAAGAAAAAUUGAUUUUGGAGUUAAUUUGGGCUUUAAUUAGGAGAAAUUAAUUUUCUGGGGUCAAAUUAUAAUUUUUGGAAGUUAAAUUUGGUCAAAUCAGGGGCUUAAUUGCAUAAAUUAUUGAAGUUUAUGGCCAAUUAGGGACUUAAUUGAAGAAAUCCGAGACCAAGGACUACAUUGUAAAACGCGCGAAAAUGGAGGGCCGAAAUUUGAAUCUGAUGCUUUUGGCGCCUUUUUCUUUUAAAUGAAACGGCGCGUUUUGACCAAAACGGCGCCGUUUCAUUCACUGUUGCAAAAAAAAAAAAAAAAAAAGAAGCCCAAAACGGUGCCGUUUUGACGGCACUGUAGCCCUUCUUCUUCCCCUGGACACACGAGGCAGGGGAAGAAGAAGAUUUUUUUCUUCCCCUUUUCGCCUAAUUACUUUCCCUCUUUUGCUCAAAAAGACGCCGAAACAAGGACACCACUUGCCGACCACUCUCCACGUGUUGGACGGGCGUUGGACGGGCCUUCUCUAUUUUCAUGCAGAACAUGAAUUAAUUCACGUUCUGCAACUGAUGAGAGGCUGGUUACUGUGCUUAUGCACAGUAACCAGCCCAUUUAGUUUUGGGCCGGUUCGGCCCAGCCCACUGAAAUGGGUCGGGUCCGGGCCAUUUCAAUUUUUUUUUUUUAUUUUUUAUUUUUAUUUUUUAGAAUUUUUACAAUUUUUCCAGCACAUGUUUUUAUCAAUUUUGCUUAAUAUCGGUCUGUAUUUUACAUCGUAAAAAAAUAUAAAUUCGGUAUUAAAAUACCUGAUUUUCGGUAAAAAAAUCUAAAUACGGUACUGUUCACACAUGCAAAAAAAAAAUCAAAAAUAUUUGUUUCAGCAUUUUUUAUAAUUUUUCCACGUAGUUUUUAUGUCAUUUUUUAUUAAUAUCGGGCAGUAUUUUUACAUCAUAAAAAUAUAAAUCCGGUAUUAAAAUACCUGGUUUUCAGCAAAAACUUCCAAAAAUAAAAAAAAAUAAAAAAAAGAUAAAAAAAAAAUGUUUUUGUGCAUACGGCCAAGUGUCUCAAAUCUAAAAAAUCAUAUCGUAUUUUCAUAUGUCAAAAAACAAUAUUUUAGCAUGCAUUUUGGCUUUAAUAACCAGUUUAUUAAAGUCAAGAGAACAUUGGCCAAAAUUCAAAAACAACAAAAUAUUUUAUUUUGUUUGAUUUUAGUAUCAGGAUUAUGAAUUUAUACGUAAAUCGUAUUCCUGAUAUUAAAAAGAUAUUUUCUUUUGACGACUUCGAAUAGUUAGUUUUUUUACCCGAUAAAGAUAAGGAUCUCCUUACAGAGGAGGACUUUUCUUAAACCGUAACCAACAAUUCAAAAAAAAAAACCACAACACAAUUUUAGAUUUUAUCAGACAUUAAAACAAUGCAGCCUACCUUAGGUAGGGCGUAGUUGGGGUGCUAAUACCUUCCCUUUACGCAACCAGUCUCCGUACCCGAUCUCUAAAGACCAGUUAAGGUUCCUAGUAACCAGAAUACUAGGUGGCGACUCCCUGUCCAUUUUUUCACUUAUAGAGACAAGAUUUCCUUGUCUCUCCCUUUUUUGUCGGGAAUAAAUAUUCCGAUUUUUUUUUCCUUGAGGGUGGACGAUCGCUGCGCCGCCGCACACGUGCGACACUCGUUAAACCAAUCUAUGAACUCCUCUGCAUGUAAAGUUUAUGCAAAAUCAGGAAGUUUAAUAAAAAAAAAAAUCUAAAAUCUCUAUGAUGUUCUACAUGAUCGAGAGGCUACCUCCUCAACUCUUGCCUUUGGAAUGGGUUUUUGGUCCUUUCUACUAACUAUUGGGUAAGCUCUACGAUUUUCAUUGCAUAUUCUCUAUCUCCAUAUCCUGAACAUUUCUCUUUUAAAAAGGAACCUCCUUUAUCUCUUUCUACUAAAGAUCAUUUCCAGUUGUUGUUGUUUAGUAGCACAAAACAAGAAAAUAACUAGGGAUCAUUGGGUUUUAAUGCCAACUCAUGUAGACAUAAACAAAAAAUCAAAGAAGACAACAACAAGAAAAAUCUAGUCUGACAAAAUAGGACUAGUAUAACAAGAACUCUAAUUUAUAGUUUAACUUAUGAAAGAAAAGUCUAAUAAGUUUUGCCUUUUCACAAAGGUUCACUAGUCUUUAAAUAGACCUAAAAUUAACCUUAAUAAGGAAGAAAAACCAUUAUCCCUAAACUAAAUGGAAAACUAGUAAAAAUCCAAAAAUAACAUAAAAUCCAAACAGAUUAAGGAAAAAUAAAAAAUUUACUCAAACAGUAUCUUUAGAGCUUAAUCUGGAGGUCUUCCAAAAAAGGGUUAGUUUAAGUGUGCUGACGUUAUAGUAGAAUUAGGCCUCGAGAAUCACCUAAAAAUAUUUAAAUAUAAUCCAACAAUCGAAUUGAAAGUUUUUAUUAUUAUUAUUUCUAGGUUGUUGGUGUGAGCAACCCGAUAUCUUCUUAAAUUUAGCUUAGUCUCACUAAUUCAUAAAUAUAUUUUUCUAGGCUACCUGUAUCAUUUGUUGGUGGCAAGUUCCUAUAUGACUGCUUAAAACCUUUAUAUUCUUAUAAAGUGAACCAAACCCGCUGAAUAUUACAUUUUGACUCAUAUCUAAUGUUCAUUGAUUAUUGAGUACCAUAGUUAUAAAACAUGGCCCAAGAAAUUCACCUAGCGACUCGGUAACUUAGAGUCAUGCCCAAGCCAGGUUUUAUUUUAAAUUUAUUUGGAGGUUGACCUAGUUAACCUGGUUAACUUGACCAAACCUAGAUGAGACCUAUCAAGUCAAUUCUAAGAAUUUUUUUUUUUAAUUUUUAUUCAGAACACCAUUGUUUUAUUUAUUUUGUUUUUUUAAAAAAAAAUUGAAAUAACAUUGCUUUGUAAUUGACACAACAAAUCCACAAUCCAGGCCUGUACCAGGUCUAAUAUUCUUGUUGAGUACAACUUGCAACACUCAUCAAUAGGUAUUGAUUGUUUCUCCUCCCUUAAUCACACUUUAAUUCACAUUCCAUGGCAAGGGGUUAUUUGUUUACAAUGUUCUCUCUUUUCACCACAACCCUCACCUCUGGCAAUUACAAGGACCUCUUACUGGUCAUAGUACAUAGACACGACAACAGCCAGUAAUAAUAGUAUUGAUCUCCACUGCAGCAAUACAUUUUGGUUUAUAAAUAUGAACCCUUUUGUGCGCUAAUUUUUUGAAUGAUUGACAAUGAGCUGUUCUAAUCAGUUUAGAAAAUACAUGUUAUCCUGCUGAUCGCAUCGCAUAUUUAUGAAGUGUACAUGCCCAUGUUAGUUCGCGGUUAAAAAUUUGGUUGUGAGGUUGUAGGUCACAAAUCAAGGGGGAUAAGAUGCUUCAAUAGCAGGAAAAAAUAGUUCAGCUUUCAUGGUUACAGCUCCACGUCAAUGGAAGGGUGACUUUGGAGGGAUUUGAUGUUGCUAUGCAGAAUAACUUACAGUAAUCAGAGAACGUAAUUAAGGCUUCGAAAUGAAAGAAACCCAUAUUUGUGGUUUAAGUUGAUUUCCAAAGGAAGAACAAAGAUUAUCAUGGAGUGUGAACCAGCUGAAGAUAUGCAAAGUAAUUAAGAUUAUUGAGAAAGUAAUUCAAAUUUAAUUUACUGCAGCUCUUGAAUGGUUGAAGGUUAGGCUAGGAUGUGGCUCCUUAGUCCUUAUUACUAAUACUAAUUUGAGAAAUUAUAGAAUAAAUUAACUAUUUCUAAUGAAAAAGUUUCAUGGACGUAACCAAUAAUUAUCUAAUAACUGUGAUCACCUUUUCAUUGAUUUAAAUUUAAAGAAGUAGUCUUAAUGAUUAAGGAGAUUUUUUUCUUCUUAAUUAGAUUUCAAGUUAAAUUGUGAUAAGUAAAAUUAAAAUUUUAAAAGAGGGAAUUGAAAUUUUAAAUAGGAAAAUAGACUCAGGUUCCGUAAAUAUUAAUUAGAAAAAAGAAUACAUCAUCCAAAAAAACUUUUUUUGUUAAAAUAGAUAUACAUGCCAGCUUGAACCUAUUUGGACUUAAAUUUUCUAUCUUAGAUAAUAGGAAUUUUAUAUUCUUUUUAUUUUUCCAAAAAUGUUUUAAAUUAUUUAAAAUCAUCAUCAAAUUUAUCUAAAUUAAGACAUCAUAAGAUGCCAAAAUAUGUGCUGUGACAUUUUCCCUUUCAUGUGCUAAAAUUAUUUAAAAUCAGCAUGCUUAAUUUGUUGACAACACUCUUGUUAGAAGUUGGGAGAGUUAGGCAUAAUUACGUAUCCACAAAUGCUUUCUCCUAUGAAGUUGGUGCAAUGAAUUGAUAGAUCGGUUGGGCGGUACUCAAAUUUAAAGCAGUUUAAUUCGGGGACCGUGUAUGUCGCAAUCGAAAAUCCAUACAGAAUAUUGUCCCAUUGAAUGACAACAAAUCCACUGAUUCCAACUAAAAAUUGAGAAAUUGAGUUAAAAAGCUGACAUACAAAAUUAUUUCUUAGAAAAUAGAUACAGCCAAAACUUUAAUUGAUUUGAAUCAAUAAAAUUAAGUUUUAUUUUUUAGAAUCAAGCAUUAAAUCAACGUCAAAAUUUAUUUUUAACAUUACGAGAUCUCCAUAUAAAACAAACUAAAACGAAAUAUCAAACUUAAUUUUAAUUCAAUUUAAUGUGAAAAGGUUAAAUUUGGAAUAAAAAAAGUACAUUUUCAUAAUAUUGUGGGCAACUAUUGUGACCUAUAGUGGAUUGUGUCUUUCUUCUAAAUUACAUUUUCAUAAUUUGUUUUCAUAUUUUUUUUCAUUUUACAUUGUCUUGCUUGUUCAUGAUUUCAAACAUUAUUUUAUGGUUUAUUAAGCGUCAAUUUUAUGAAACCAUACCAAAAUUAUUAAAUGGGAAGCAAAAUAACUCAAUAAAAAAAAGGAUGAAAAUGAAAUGAAAAGAACUCAAUCAAUAAAAAGAAAAAGGAGGAUAUUAAUAGUAAAAAAAAUCUUGAGGUGGUUUAUUGUUCACUAGGUAAGGGCUCAUGCUACGACGCUAGCCGAUCCAAAUUUGUUUCAAUAUAAAAAAUACAUGCUAUGGUGAUGCAAGUAUUCCUAAAAAAGCAUAUUAUUAGCUUGAUUGUAUUUAAUAAGCUCAAUUAAUUCAAAUGAUACGAAAAAAAAUGAAAGAAAAAAAAUUGAUGUGGUUUAAUUUUUAUAGAAACAGUGUUUCCACCUCAAAUGUUUUAAUUGUAUUGAUAAUGAAUCAUUGGAUGCAUCACUUUCAUUUCAGAAGACAAUAUUACUAAAAUAUGUACAUCUUUUAAUUAGUUGGAUCCCAACAUCUUUUAAUUAAUGACCCAAUAUUUUGUACUUGUACUUAGUGGAAGAUACUGCCUUUGAACUAAUAUUGUAAUCUUGCAUUUAUGGAAGGUACUGCCUUUGAACUAAUAUUGUAAUAUUGCAUUUAUGGAAGAUACUGCCUUUGAUUAGGUUGCAAAUAGGAUUUUAAAUUAAUUUUUAAUACAAAAUAAGAAGGUGCCGGGUGAGGUAGAUGCAUUUUCAUAUAUCAUAAAUUAACAUUUCCAAUUGAAAGAAUGGAAAAAUAAUUUAUGCACUUAAUAAAAUUAACUGAAAAAAUAUAAAUUAUUAAAUUAAACAAGAAUUGUUAUCUCUAAUUAAAAACUAAAAUGAGAAGUUGAUCUUUCUUUUGAGAAGCAAACGAUAGAUUCAUAUACAAACACUUUAUCUUAAUUGUCCUUUUUAUUUUAUAAUUUUAUUUAUUUAUCUUGAAAGUUAAUUGUUAUCGCUAAACAUAUAUGAAUUUUGUUCUUCUAUAUUCAUCAUGCAAGUACAAUUUACAAGAAAGAAAAUUAAAACAAGUUACAAUAAUCUAUUUAAGGUAAUGUGAAAUUAUAAAAACAAUCUAAAAAAAAGAUUACUAUUUAAAAAAAAAAUUCUUAAGUGCAUUCUUUAUAUCUUCCAUGUUUGCAUUCUUAUGUUUCGGUUUGUAUGGAGGGAUUGAUUUGGUCGAAAAAGGGAAUUUAUUAUUGUAGAGGAAAUAAAAAUGUUGGUUGAUGAGUUCUAGUCAUGAGAAAAGGAGAUAGGUUUUGAAUGGUUUUUCAUGGCAGAAAGCAAGGUUUGCUCGGUCAUAAAGAGAAAGAUGAGACUAUGGUCAAUACGAGGCUAUUGUGGUUAUGAUGGAACGAUGGUUAGAAUCUAGCAAUGUGGGUGAGAAAAAAAGGGGUGAGAGAGAGAGAGCAUAUAAUUUUUUUUUUUUUUUUUCUCUUGUUUUCUUUUUCUUCAUUUCUCAUCUUGCUAACUGUUUGUCUUGCUUUAAUAAACAUAUUUAGAGAAUCACCAAUUAUGAAUCUUAUUGAAAUAAAAAGAAAAAAUUAUAAUAUAAUCAUUAAUUAGAAGAUCGAUGAGGAUUUUAAAUCUUGGAAAUUUUAUGAACAAAAAUCUUUUUUUUUUCAUUCUUACAAGAUCUCUUAUUUUCCUUAUUUACUUCAAUAAGAUUCAUAAUUAAUUGGUGAUUUUCUAAAUAUGUUUAUUAAAGCUUUCUUUGUAGUUCAAGUCAACUUGAAUUUUUUCCAUGUUGUUCCAAUAUUUAAAUUAUUGCAAAUAAGCCUUAUUUAUUUGUGCAUCUUUGAAUUUCCUUAUUUUAUUUGAUCUUUCAUAUUAUUUUAUCUUUCAAUAUCUUAGUUCUUUCUUCCUUUUCAUUGCCUAUCAUUUCACUGUUUUUUUUAAUUUUUAUUUAUUACCAUACAAAAUAAAAAAAGUGAAAGUGUUGAAAAUUAUGAAAUAACCAUAAAUUAAAUGAAUUGCAUAAAAAACACUCUUUUAUAUAUAAAAAAUAUCUUUUUAAACGGGUUAUAACACCCUAAAUAAUAUAGUAAUCCUUUAAUGCUUAAAUUAGAAAAAUUAAAAAUAGUGAAUAGGAUAUGCAGCAGAAGAGGAAUUAAGACAGUGUGGUGGAGAAAAUAAUCACCCCCGUGGAGAAUGUUUCUUUUAAGGUGAUAUGUCUGAUUUUUCCUGGGCUUUUUUUACCAGAUGUAUUUAUACUUGAAUGAAUGUACCAACUUGCAUGGUUGUAAGGGCAUAAUUGGUAAGAUGCUAUCAACCCUCACGUAACGGUAAUUAUAGGAAUUCAUAGCUCUAGGUGUGGUGGUGCAUCAAAAAUGGAGGUAAUUAUAGGCAUUCAUAGCUAUAGCUAUAGGUGUGGCUUUCAUAGCUUUAGGUGUGGUGGUGCAUCAAAAGUGGAGGUAAUUAUAGGCAUUAAUGGCUAUAGGAGUGGUGGUGCAUUAAAAUUGGAGUUUUAUUACUUUAUUCGCUAUUUAUUUUUAUAUUUUAAAAAUAUUUUUAAAAAAUUUAAAAAUUUUAUUUAUUUUAAAUUAAUAUAUUUUUAAAUUAUUUUAAUGCGCUGAUAUUAAAAAUAAUUUUUAAAAAAUAAUAAAUAAAUUAUUUUAUUACAUUUCUAAAUAAAAUAUAUUUAAAAAAUAACUGAAACAACUUUGACUCUACGGCUCCGUUUGUUUGCUGGAAAGUAUUUUUUUUUUUUAAGUGAAUUUCUGGAAAAGUGAAUUCCGAGAAAGUAUUUUCCAAUGUUUGGUAGUGUAAUGAAAAAUGAGUUGGAAAACACUUUCUAGUGUUUGGUUAUGUCAUGGAAAAUGAGCUGAAAAAUAACUUAUUAAUAUUUUAUUUUUCUCAAGUUUAUGAAAAUAAUGAGAAACAAAUCUUACAAAUUAAAAAGUUGAAUGAGAAUGAAAUUGAAAAAAAAAUAUAAUUUCAUAAAUUAUCUUAAAUAAAAUAAAUAAUAAUCAAAAUAAUAGAAAUCAAAUCUAAAAAAUUAAAAAAAAAAUUGAAAGAUGAAGAAAUUAAAAUAAUAAUAAUCAACAUUUCAUAAAUUAUUUCAAAUAAAAUAAGUAACAAUCAAAAGAAUGAGGACCAAAUUUGAUAGAUAAAAAAUUUCAAUAAAAAUAUAAUAAAAAAAAAAUACAAUUAUAAAAAUAAAAAUCAAAAUUAAUAUAACAAUAAAAACAUGGUUAGUUGGCCAACACUACCAGGUGGGGUCCAAUGUGAUAAAUCAUAUGACGGUGCAUGAACUGGUGGAUUCCAUCGAGGUCCAAAAGUCCUCUCCAACCGGGGCAGGCAAGUGCUCCCUCGCCGUCGGGGAAAGGUUUGAGCUUUCCAGAAGCAAUUAAGCUACAUGGGCUUCCUUUUUUUUUUUUUUUUUCUCCUAUUCUAGAUUUAUCUUUUAUGGACUUGAUAGGGGGGCUAUGGACCCUUGGCCCGUAGGAAAGUAAAUUUCUUUCUUUAAAUGUAGAAAACAUUAAAAAGAGAUUAAUGUUAUAUAAUAACAUUGCAAGAGAGUCGUAUAAUUUACAAUGAUGCAUGUCUAUUCCUUUCCUUAGGAGGUAAGGCGAAACUCAGACCUUUUCAUUCAACAUCUUUACUUAUAUGCAUGUAACAAAUGCAAAGCGGAUUGAAAAAAAAAAAAAAAUUCUGUAACUUUUUUCUUUUUUCCUCUUAUAUUUUCGUCCAAAACAUCCAAUUGAGCUAUGGUACAGUACUAUAAAAAAGUUGAAAAUGGAAAAUAAUAAAAACCUAAAAGUUUCUUAGAAACCUUCUACAUCGUAUUUAAAAGAACUACUCGCGAGAAAGUUAAUUUGAUAAUUGUUUUUUGGUAACUUUCCAUUAAAAACAAAGGGAAAGGUAAAAGUAAUAAUAAUCUUAUAAAUGGGAUAAAUAUUAGCUUCUCAAACCCAUAAAAAAAAUCUGCUUAAGAUGUUGGAAACAAAAUACAUUCAGGACGUCAAAGAAUGGAUAACUUAAUUACUAGUUUCAUGAUAACAAAACCUCAAAGAAUUUCAUAAUUAAAUUUAAGGUAAAUAAAAAAAUCUAAAAUUUAAAAAAAAUAGCUUAGUGUUUCUCAUACAAUACACUACAAAUUAAAAUAGUAUAAUAAAGAUUUUUCCCUUCUCAAUAAAAAUUAAAAUCUAAAAUUAAAAAAAAAUAGCUUAGUGUUUCUCAUACAAUACACUACAAAUUUAAAUAGUAUAAUAAAGAUUUUUCCCUUCUCAAUAAAAAUUAAAAUACCUUCAAAAGAUGCACGUGUCAAACUAAUAAAUUUUUUUUGACAAAAUAAAACCAACAAAAUAAAGAAAACUCACCAUGGAUAAUAGCAUGACAUGACAUGCAUCGUCAUUAAGGCCAUGUUUGUUUCCCGGAAAGUAGUUUUCGGGAAACUAUUUUCCAAACUUUCCUGUAUUUGUUUGUCAUUAGAAAAGUUGGUCAACGAAAAACACUUUCCAGUCAAUUUCAGUAAAAAAAAAAAAUUGACUUGGUUUUCAGGAAAGUGUUUUCCCUAACUAUGUUUGUUUUCCGGAAAGUGGUUUCCGGGAAAUCACUUUCCAAACUUUCUUGUGUUUGUUUGCCAGUAGGAAAGUUGGUCAAUGGAAAACAAUUUCCAGUAAAAGGAAAAUUUGGCUUGGUUUUCAGGAAAGUGUUUCCUGAAAAAUUUGAGGGGAAAACACUUUCCGGAAGUUGUGAAAAAUUUAGAAAUGUCAUUAUUUGCUAAUUAUAUCAAAUUUGAUCCUCAAACUUUUGAUUGCUAUAUAUAUAUAUAUAUAUAUAUAUAUAUAUAUAUAUUUUGUUUUGAAUAUUUAUUUUUCAAUUUCAUCUCUUAAAAUUUUAUUUUUAUAUUAACUUUGGUCCAUAUUUUUAUAAUUGCUAUUUGCUUUUUCCUUAUCAUUUUUUUAUUGAAAUUUUUUAUUUAUCAAAUUUGAUCCUCAUUCUUUUGAUUGUUACUUAUUUUAUUUGAAAUAAUUUAUGAAAUGUUGAUUAUUAUUAUUUUAAUUUCUUAUUUUUAAUUUUUUUUAAUUUUUUAGAUUUGAUCCCUAUUAUUUUGAUUAUUAUUUAUUUUAUUUGAGAUAAUUUAUGAAAUUAUAUUUUUUUUUUCAAUUUCAUUCUCAUUCAACUUUUUAAUUUGUAAGAUUUGUUCCUCAUUAUUUUAAUAAACUUGAGAAAAAUAAAAUAUUAAUAAGUUAUUUUCCAGCUCAUUUUCUAUGACAUAACCAAACACUGGAAAGUGUUUUCCAACUCAUUUUUCAUUACACUACCAAACAUCGGAAAAUACUUUCUCGGAAUUCACUUUCCCGGAAUUCACUUUCCAAAAAAACUAUUUUCCAGCAAACAAACAGAGCCUAAUGAUGUCUUGUUUCACACGCGUGCAAACACGCGCUAGAUAGUUUCCUUGUUCUAUUUUCGUUUCAGUGUUCUUAAAUCAGCCAAAUUAAGGAAAGAAAAAGAUAAGGAUAAAUAAUGGGAGAAAAAGAGGGAAAAAAAAUUGCCGGGAGAUUCCAAGCCAUUUUCAGAUAACAAACUUGUUCAUCGCAGGUGGGCAUCUUUCUCUUGAUUUAAGCCUUUGUUGCAGGCCAAUGACACUAGGCUUGGCCGGUGCUCCGAUGGGCUUGAACAUUGGUGGUUGCGAUGAUGAGAUCAAUGAAAAGUAGCAUGUAUUCGCCACCGCAGCCAAUAAACAAUGCAAGCACAAAUGCCCAUCCUGAAAUUCUCCAGUCCAUCAACCCUACAGUUAAUCCAAUCCAUUGAUUUGGCCAGUUUUUUUAUUUCCUUCAAAGCGGCUCUCGUUGAUGAUUUCUUUUGCUUUUUCUCAAUUUCACUAACACAAGGAAUUACAAGUUUUUUUAUGGAAUAUCUCUGUCUCUUUGCACCUUGAUUUCAACAGCGAGGGUUGUUUUUCAUAGAAACAUCAUCUGGGGCAUGAUCAGACCCUUUCAGAUUUGAAUCAGAAAUCGUAAAUUCUUAGCAACCACUUCCGUUGACAGAUUGAGGAUUGGACGAACAAGAAUCUUCUGUUUCUUGAUUAGCAACUUCACUAAAUGCAGCGUCUGACUCUUCUGUCUGAUGAGAAGACUUGAAUCCAUCAUGUAUAAGUACUGUUUUGCUUGCUCUGCCAUUGCAGGGGCAGCACAAUUGCUUAAAACAUGCUAAAAGCACUUCCUUUUUUCCUUGAUUUAGUAGGUCUCGCAUUUGUAGAUUUAGAUGGAAAUCGACUGGUGUGAUCUGCAUGACGCGAUGCAGAUUCACUUGCACUGUUAGCUUCCUGCUGGAUUAACAAAAUGUAACCACAAUGAUGAUCGUAAAUAACAAUAGAUUGAGAUUCGUCAACAAAAAGAUAUCUUGUUUGGUCUUUUCGGUGGGAAAGAUUUAAUUCGUAUGAAGGAUUCGGAAAUCGCAUUCUUCUUUUCUGUCAACUUUGUGCCAAAAACAAUCUGAAACUGGAAGAACUAAAAAAUCUAAAAGUUAACUAGAAACCUUCCUACAUGUUCUAAGAAAGAUUUUGUGACAGGAGAAUUCUCAGUCUGUAACUUAGAAUUGAGAUCUACACUUCCUCUCCUUUAAAAUGGGAGUUUAAGAUUCAUUAAAUACAGAUGAAUGUACUACCAUAAACAUGAACCCCUAUUUGUUAUAUACAUUCAUGAACUUCGAAUAAAUAAUGAAUCUAGAAUUUUCUUAAUUAUUUCUAACAUUUUCCUUGCGUUUCAAGUUAAAAAGCAGAACCUUGUUGUUAUCAUUUUGUGAUCACUUUUAUUUGUCUGCUCAAUCAAUCAGCAAACUGAACUUGGACGUAACUUGGUGACCAUGGGCCAAGCCAUCAACAAUAGGACAGUGAAUAGAGCAAGACUAGCACAUUGAUUGAUACGUGUUAAGUCGCGGGUCAGGGCAACUCUUUUUUCAAACGCGAAAAAAAUUAUGUCUGGGCGUUGAUAACAUCUCCUAGAAAGAAAUAGAUUUUAAAUAUGAAUUCAGAAGAAGUUGCAUGUUGAAUGAUAUGAUAGAAACACAGUGGAUGUAGUUAAAUUGAUCUAGUUAAUAUAUUAAAUUUUAAAAAAUAAUUUAAAAAGAAAUAAAUUUAAAAAAUUUAAUCAUCAAUUAAUUCAAUGAUGAAAAAUUAAAUUAGUAAAAAUAGAAUACCCAAUUACAUAAAACAAAAAAAAAACAAGUGAAUUUAAGUUAAUCAAGCAAGCUCACGAUGCAUAGUCAUGCAUUUCCUUUAAUUAAAUAAUUUUUUUAUUCUAAAAAUAAUGUUUUGUUUAAUUAUACGAUAAUAUAACACAUGAGAGUUUUUCUGUAUCAAAUAUUCUUUUUUAAAAGAAAAAAAAAAACACGAUAGAUAUGUGAGUCUAAGAUAACAAAGUGUCAAAUUUUUUUUUUUAAUUUUGAGAUAAAUAAAAAAAAUAGAUCAUCAAUAGCAAAAAGGUGAAAUUGAAUUUAAAAAAAAAAAAAACAAUUGAGGGACAAAAAAUUCAUCAAAAAAAAAAUAAUAGUUAGGAUGUUGUGGAUUUACAUCAUUAAACUUACAGCAUGACUCAUAGACUCAACUAGGUCGAAUGAUUUUUCUUAUUAAUUUUUUCACCCCAAUAUAAAUAACAAAAAAAAAUAUGACCAAAAAAAAUAAAAAGCAGGCGUGUGUGGGCAUGGUGCCCUAGCAUGCCUGGCCUUUUUACAAAAAGAGCUUGGACACAUGAGCCUUCUAGCCAGCACGUGCACUUAGGCCUGACUUUAUAUUUUUUUUUAUUUUUUAAAAGAUAGAUAACUAUUUUGUAAAAUAAAAAAAAAGAUGAUAAUGCGUCUUCUAGUGUUUAUUGAAGCAAACACCAAAGGUUGCUGGAAAAGUGGAGCUUUAGUUUUUUUUGCUUAAAAAAUUAUUUUCAUCUUGUUUUUUACCUAAAAAAUCAUAAACAACUUGAUAAAUCUAUUGAUGGCCUCAAACAACCUAAAACAAUAACUAAAAAAAUUUUAAAAUCAACCUAAACUUAAAAUUUUUUUCCAUGGGCAAAUCUUCCUCUUUGGGAAAGGAGAAGAAAAAAUAACAUUUAGAUGAAAAUGCUCUUAUCAAAUUAAACACAUUGAGACUAGGAUUAUCUAUUUUUAUGGUCAAAAUCAGUAUCAAUAAUAACUCUCUCUCUCUACACUAGAAUAUGACGACUCUCUCUCUUUUCUCUCAUAAAAAUAAGAAUAAAAAAUAUAAAAAAUAAAGCUUGGUAUUAAAAUUAAAUUUUUAAAAACUAAAGGAAUCAAUUAUAUAUAUUAACUGAAAAGAAUAGGGAAUUAAACCAAACUUUUCAUAAAAAAUUUGAAAUUACCAUCUAUUUUAUCCGUGUUUUUCACUUUGAUCUUGUAUCUUUAUUUCUCUCUUUAUUCAAAAAAGAGUUCAAUUGUGUAAAAAGAAAAUUAGAAAAAGAUUUAGGAAAAAUUAACUAAUUCAAUAUACAGUGAUUUGUGAGAGAUUGCUUGGUGUAAAGGGAACAAAAAGGAUCUCACAGCUUAGUUUUUUUAUAAUAUAAUUAGAACAGCAAUUUUGAGCAUGAAAUUGAAACAGUGGAAGAAAUCCUAAAGGUAUGUAAUUUGCAGAAUUGCGUAAAAUUUGGGCACCUAAUUAAUACGCGGUAGAUUGAAUGGGAGAAGGUAGAAGAUUGUCUCCCAGCAUAGAAAAGCUCAAGACAAGCAAUUCAAGCUUCUUUCUGCUACUUUUAGCAGCGCUUGAAAAAUGACAGGAAGAUGUGGAAAUUUCUUUGGGAAAACCUGAAACAUGAAUUAACAAAUUAUCAAAAAUUAUUCUUCAAAGUAAAGGAGAUGAUAAGGGUGACCAAAGCUUUGAAAAUGAUAACCCGACAUCCAUGACCUUUCAAGGAUGAGUUCACAGAAGUAUCUUUGGAAGAAAACGAUUUACUAUAUGCUUCCUCUUCGAUGAAUUUCAAUAAUUACUAGCCAUUCAACAGCAACAUGGUUGUUAAAAGAGUUUCAAGGUAAAUUGAUCAUAUAUUUUAGAAACUACAUGCAAAACAAAGCUAGCUGCAUCAUCAGGGCAUUAUACAGUCACGACCCUGUGAGUUCUGUAAGGGAGAGUAUAGAAGCCAUACUAUAGUUCAAGAAAAGAAAAUAAAAACAUUAUUGGGCAAUGAAUACUCACAAACCAAGACCUCCAACCUUGUAAACCAGUCCUGAAAUGGUGAAACCCUUGCAAUUUUUGACUGGGAAAGCUUGAUGUAUGGAAUCUCAAUACAGGCAGAGAUACCUCUCCACUAAAAAGAGCGGGAUCAUAGCAAAAUCAUCUGAAUAAACUCAGACAGUGUUUUCACAUUAGAAACACAAGACUACUUCACAAUAUGCUCCAGCAAAGGAGCUUCCACAACUUCCUCCACUGUUCUUUAAUGUCUCAAUAUAAACUGGGUUUCUAUUGAGUUGCUGAAGUGUGAGUACAGAUGUUAGGCUAGCAGCGAAACUUUAAGAAAUGACUAGCACAACAGAGCGUCAUGCUGCCAUCACCAUUGGAGACCAGUUUCUGUGUAAUCAUCACCAUUGGCAAGAACCUCAUCGGAGUUUUUUGUCCGUCAGCAAUUCUACUGACAGUUCCCAUCGGCAAUUUCAUUGUCAUUUUUUCGUUGAUGAUUCAAUCAUUAAGUUGCUAGAAAUACCGACAGAAUCACCUACGGAAAUUCUAUCGGUGAUUUUCAAUUUAUAAUUAAACAGAUAAUAGUUUGCUAUGUACUACAAUAACGCGCAGAAUGUCUCGCUACAGAACUAACUGGCCUAAGCACUAGACAAACAAUCUUUUUACGAAAUUAUUGUUAUAAAUAAAAAUUUCUCUUUCUCAUGGAUAUUAAAGAAUUGCAAUAAAUAAAAACGAGUACAUAAAACAGUCCCACUACGCCAUUGAGCCAUUGAAAUUCAAUCAGCAAAAGUAGCUUCCAUAUUGGUUUUGGAUUAUAUCAAAAUUCUUCUGGCAGUGCAGUUGGUUUCCAUGUAAAUGAGUCGCAGGCUCCACAGAGAAACUACCAUACAAAAAUAGUUAAACAAACUUACACAUGAUAUACCUUCUUCCAAUUGUGUUUUGCCAUAACUUCAUAGAGAUUGAUAGUGCCAACCAGAUUAUUGUCCCCAACUGCCUUGAGACCAGAAAAAUGGAUCACAGCAUCAAACCUGUCACAUUUGUAGAUAUAUAAGCCAUCUCCAGUUAUGAAAAGACAUGAUCUAGCUCGACAGUUGCUAAAUAAAACUUUAUUUAAUAAUCAUCUAAGAAAUGAUUUAACAUAUAACACUCCAAGAAUCUUAAUUAACAUUUCACCAUUAGUAAUCUAGUCACAAAUAGAACCCCAUCUAAUUUACAAAUGAAACCCGACCACCAAUCUAGUAAAGUAUCCAGAUUCAAGAUUUACCAAUCUAGUAAAGUAAAAUUACGUACAUUGGCAAGUUAAAAAUCAUCAAAAGGGCAAAAGGGUAUCAGAAAUUCACUUACUUAAUUCUUGAAAACAACUACUCCAAAUCACCCUUCUUUCUAAGAUCACCCUGCAAAAAAAAAAAAAAAAAUAUUCCCCAGAAUCCAUUUUCUCCAUCCAACAGAAAAGGAGUAUUAUUACUCGUCAAUGAAAAGAAAAGGCGUAAACUUCACCAGAUUAAAUUCAAGAUUCUUAGAAAGCUGAGGACCCACCAAUUCCUUAACACAAUCAACAGCUUCAGUAACACAAUUAUCAUGAUUGUCAAUGAUUGAAACCUUAAAACCUUCAUUUAGAAGCUGUACUACUGUACGAGUGCCCAAAAAUCCAGCCCCGCCAGUCACAAGAAUUGUUUGUCCAACCAUUGCAUUUAACAAAACUUGAUAUAAGAACAAGAUACCCCAACAGAGAGAUAAAGAGACAACUUGAGAAAGAUUAAAGCUAUUAAAAGGAGGAGUUUGAGCCAAAAAAGGGAGGGUGUAACUUUGGUAUUUAUAAGAGAAGGAUCAUUUAUGGGCAUGGCAGCGUUCAAAAACAGAAUAAAGCGUCAUCAAUAAGAAAUGGAACCUAAUGGAAUGAUAUAAUCGUAAUUGAUGGAUCUAUUAACUUAAACUACCCUAAGUUCAUGAACAUAUAACACUCAGUUAAUGUAAAACAACAGGUUCAAGGCUGAGAUUGAAAAGACUAGCCUUUGGUCUUUUUGUAACAUUACUUCAUGAAUUCAAGAAUAUGCAACCAUUCAUUUCACAUCUGCUAUAAAAUUUUACGCAAGCAAAUCCUAUCCACACCACCAAUACACCAAUCAUUAGAAAAACAGAGAGAGCUUCAAUAAACAGCUUUCAUAACAGGUUUUAGCUAGAUACGGAAUAAAAUUAGCUCAUUAUUUAAACAGAAACAUAAAAAAGCCAAUUCAAUUUAAGUUUCCAAACAAACAUAUAUACUAAAAUAUAAAAAUAGCAAUUAGUUCAAUUGAAAUUAAAAUUUUCUCAGUAACCAAACCAGAGACAAAAACCUAGGCGAUAUUAUUUAUUUAGUAACAAUAAAUAAUAAUAAAGUAACUUGACUCCAAAAUCGGAGACCGAGUUCUCCGGAAAAGUCUCGUCACUGAGCUUGCGCUUGAGAGGAUUUGAAGACGGAUGCCGCGGAGGCAAGGGACUCUUCAACUUGGCUGGGGUCGUAGACAGCGAAGGCUAGCGAGUGCUAGGGUGUCACACGCAGCAGCUUUGGAUGGAACAGCAGGAGGAGGAGAAGACGACGUUAUAGUUUAAAUUCAAAUAAUAUGACCGUUGCAUGAAUUGACACAAUACGCACCGUUUAACUACAAUCCCUACGCACCGUUUAGCUGUCUUCUAGAUGCUGAUAAAAGACAAAGGCAGUUAAUUAUAAUUCCUCAAUUAUGGGAAUAGCAGUGCUUGUUCUGCUAUAUAUUUCUAUCACACUUGUAGCGUACGGUUUGGUGACUGCUCAUUGCGUGCUGCUGCUUCUCUCAAGAUCGGGUUCCUAGGGUUUAGAAAUAAAGUGUUUCAUUGCUAAAUUUCUAGAUAAAGAAAUUGAGAGAGAGUGGGUGAGAGUUCUGGUUUUUGAAAAGAGAGAGGGUAAGGUAUGGCAGAGUAGCAAGAGAGGAGGAAAGGCAUAAGAAGGGGGAGGGAAGUAUAGGGUUUAGAAAGAGGAGACCUGAAGCGAGAAGAAUAUAGAGAAAGCGGAGAGCAUGAGGAUGCCUAAAUAACGUUUUCUUUAAAUAUAGACGACGGAAAUUCCAUCACGUUACAAAUGCCGAUGAGGUUUUUGUUAUUAUUAUUAUUUUAUUUUUAUUCCAUCAUGCAUUGUUUCCGUAGAAAAUUGCCAACAAAAAAUUUUUCAUCGCAAUUAUCAUUAAUAAAUUGCAAUAUAAUAUUUUUUUGAUCAGUGUUUCCUAGGGGUGAGCAAAAAAAUCGAGAAAUCGAGAAAUCGAGGAAACCGAGUAAACCGAGAAAAAAACAACCAAAAAAACCGAACCGAAAAAAAAACCGAUUAAAACCGAUUAUUUUUUUUGUUAAAAUUUUCGGUUCGGUAUCGGUUUACGAAAUCGGAAACCGGAAAAACCCCAACCGAACCGAACCAGUUCGGUUUAAGGGGUACUAUAAAUACGAAAAAAAAAAAACACUUUCUAAUUCCUGAAACCUAAUUAACUAAAAACCCUAGAUACUUUUCUCUCCAGCGCCGCUCCCUCAAUCCUCACAGUCGCGCUCACAUAAUCCACACUUUCACUCACUCUGUAACAAAAUCCAGUUCUCUAGCACUCUCUCUUCGGUGUGAAUAAGAAAGUGUCAAGUGAUGGAGGUGUGGCUAGCUUGCUGAAUCGCCUCCUCGUACUGCUAAUCUUCUUCCUGCUAACUCAUUUCUCUUUCGACCGGAACUCCUUAAUCAGUUAAUCCGGAAGUUCCCCAGAGUUCUUCCUUUUAAGAGGGUUGGCGCAAACAAAAGCAGCAGAUAUUGAAACUAAUAGCAAAGAAGGCUAGGCUCCUCGAACCAGAUUCUCUCCGAUCUUCUACCGUAAUUCGCUAAUCUCGAUGAAAGAGCAGGUAACUACAUAAGGCAGCUUUCCCCGCUCUGUCUUGUCUCGAUACGAGAAGGGCUGGUGCUAGAAUACUAAUUACUAUUGCAGCUCUCGGGUCUACUCUCCCUUCCACUCCAGCCUUACCUUAAAGACCUGGUUUCGUCUGGUAAGCGAGCUCUACUAUAUAUAAUAUAGAUACUGCCCUCUGCUGUUAGUGCUUUCGUUUGGUUGUCCUCAUCUUCGAUUCUUCAUUUCUCUUUUUAAUUCCUCAAUCUUGGCUCCUUUCUGUUCACCACUUCACCUCUUAUGUUCAAAAGUUGCUGCUGCUGUUUUGGUUUUAAUGUUGCUCGCUUUCUCUUCAGCGUCUUCUUUGGUUGAUCUUGGUCGUUCGGUUUAGACUCAUCUUCGUCGUCGAUUGCCAUCCCUCCCUCUUUCACACCAGGUAUGAAUUUUUUUUUUUCCUAUCAAUCUCCCUUUUUUUUUAACAUAUGCUUUGUGAUUCUGUGUAUUUGUUGGUAUAUCCUUAAAAAAAAAAAUCAAACUUUGAGCAUUCUGUGUAUUUUUUGUUGAUUUUAUAACCAUGCCAUUUUUCCUAUUAUUUUUUCAAAUUGUGCUACCUUGUCAUUUGUUCUUGUUGUGUGACGAAAAAAAACUGUGUUUGAAGGGAAAACAUGAUCAACCCGCGGGCUGGUUUGAGACCAUAAAGUCUGUUCUGUUGCUGGCUGAAGUUUCCUUUCACAUCCGAAAUUGAAUAUUGUCCUAACUUGCACAGGUAUGAUUUCUUUUUUCUGUCAAUCUCUAUUUGUAUUUUAUUUUUUUUAUUUAAUUUCUUGGUUCUUUUAGUUUGUUUUUGUAUUUCGGUUUCCUGUUCUUUUUUUAGUUUCAUGUUGUUCCCUUUACUAUGUUUCGGCUUUGUCCUUCUAUGUUGUAGCUUAAGUGCUUUUAUGAGAUUAAGAUAUGCAGGAAGAAUUUUAAGUUUUUAAUUGUUAAUAAAAAAUAAAUUUUUUGGACAUCCUUUGUGAAUCUGUGAUGGAUGAGUGACAUAAAGAACUGAGGCCAACUUCUUGCAAUGACCCUUUCAUUGUUUACACAGUUGUGCAAACUGCAAAUGAAGAGGUUCCUAUUUAAUCAGCUAGGAAUGAACUGUUUUAGUUAUGCAAUCCAUGAGGCAUGAAUCAUUUUUAUUGAAAGCCAAGUUGUUAAUCCAGGAAAGUAUCAAACAGAGUUGUCAGGGGUGUGUGGCAUAUGAAAUUAAAUAAAUUUUAUGUUCAAUGAAUCAAACAAUUCAGGAUAACCUCUCUAGUUAUUCACAAUCUUGAAGAAUUAUGUGGUUUCCAUGUUAUGGCCAAACAUUAUCUGCGUUGCAACCAAUUGAACCUGUGCAAUUGCGGUACAUAUUUUGUCAUCUUUACAAUUGCAUCUUUUGGGUUGUUUGUUGCAGCAGUGUGUUACUUUUUUUAUGUGUAUUUGUUUUUUUUUUUAGAAAGACCUUGUUUAUCCUUGUUAAUUUUAAGAACAACACAGCUUUUAUUGAACAAAUUAUUGUCCAGUCAAUUCUGCUGCAAGCAUAAAUGCUACUGUGAAAUCCCUAAAUUCAUUUCUAUAAUUAUGAUUUCACUACACUUUCAGUUAUUUAUAUAUUGAACAUGUUUCUGGAUAGAUAUAAGAUAUACCACCCUGUGACAGAAUCUGGGAGUUGCAUAACGUUUUUUUUUGUUGUUGUUUCUUGAUUGUUUGUUGAUUUCUCAUCAUAUAUCUCUUCACAACAUUGAAACUGCUAUUGGAUUUUUUUGGUUGCUAUUUUAGUACAUUUAAAUCUAUUAUAGAUUAUGGGUUUUUAACAUGUUUUCAUUAUAUAAUAACAGAUGGAAACUACUCAAAUUCAAAAUGCUUCAUCCACGGGUACUACACCAACAUCAAACACUUCUCCAACUUCAAAAACUAACCCAGAAUCAACCAAUGCAGGAUCCACCACAGAUACAAAAGGUAAACAACCUCAAGUCCUUACAUCUAGGAAAAGAAAUGUUGAAGAUAGAAAAAAGUCACAAAUUUGGGAUCACUUUACAAAACUUGAUGUUGAUCCUAAAGCCCCUAGAGCUGAAUGUAAUUAUUGUGGAAAAAGUUAUGCAUGUCACACUAUUGUUAAUGGCACAAGUAAUAUGUGGAGUCAUUUAAAAGUGUGCAAGAAGUUUCCUUUUGUGGUUGAUAAGAAACAAAAGGUUUUGGUGUUAGAACCUAAGAUAGAGAAGGGUGAAUUGGGAGAACAAAAUGUGGGAAGUCUUAAGGCAAUAGGUUAUAAUUAUGAUGAAUGUAGACAAGCACUAGCAAAGAUGGUUAUAAUUGAUGAGUUGCCUUUUAAUUUUGUGGAGGGUCGUGGAUUUAAAUUGUUUGCUAGGACUAUGCAACCUAGAUUUGACAUUCCUUCUCGUUUUACAAUUAUGAGAGAUUGUUUGAAACUUUAUGUUGAAGAGAAGGAUAGAUUGAGGAUAGCUCUUAGGGUCAACGAUUGUGCUUACAACAGAUACAUGGACAUCAAUCCAAAUAUUAAUUAUAUGUGUUUAACAGCUCAUUGGAUUGAUAAUGACUGGAAUUUGCAUAAAAGAAUUCUUAAUUUUUGUCAAGUUUCCAAUCAUAUGGGUGAGACAAUUGGCCAAGUUAUUGAGAAUUGUUUGUUGGAGUGGGGGAUUGAUAAACUGUUGACUAUUACAUUAGACAAUGCAAGCUCUAAUAAUGUGACCAUUUCAUAUUUAAAGAAUGUGAUGAAAGAUUGGCCAACUAAUAUAUUGUCAAAUGAGCACUUGCAUGUUAGAUGUUGUGCACACAUUGUAAACCUCAUUGUGUGUGAUGGCUUGAAAGAGAUUAAUGUUUCAGUUGUUAAGAUUCGAAAUGCCAUUAGGUUUGUGAGAUCUUCACCUCAAGGCAUCUUGCAUUUAAGAAGUGGGCUGAAAAAAUAUUGAGUCAUUGUGUUUAGAUGUUGCAACUCGAUGGAAUUCAACUUAUCUUAUGCUAGAAGCUGCUGAAAAGUUUGAAAAGGUGUUUGUGAGGUUAGGUGAAAAAGAACCUAGGUAUAUGAGUUACUUUUUGGAGGUUGAUUCAAAGGGGAAUAAAAAAAACAUAGGGCCACCUGGUUUGGAGGAUUGGGAAAAUGCAAGAACUUUGGUUAAGUUCUUAAAGAUCUUUUAUAUGGUUACAUUGAGAUUUUCUGGCUCAUUGCAUGUCACAUCAAAUUCUUUCUUCAAUGAAUUGAUUUACAUGCAUACAAACUUGUUGCAAUUGUGUAAAAGUAAAGAUAGUAUUUUAAGUGGAAUGGCGAUGAAUAUGAUGUUAAAGUUUGAGAAGUAUUGGGGUUGUGAAGUAAAUCAGAAUUUUUGUUAUAUGCUAAUGUCUUAGAUCCACGUUUGAAGUUGAAAUAUGUGAAAUUUUGUUUUGGUGAUUUGUAUGAUUAUGACAAAGCACAAUUGCUAACAAAUAAGGUGAAAGAUACUUUGGUGAGCUUGUAUGAGUUUUAUUUGAAAAUUGAUGAAGUGGUGGAUAAUAAUAGGCAUAAACAGGAUGUUAAUGCUAUUGAUGAUGUGGAGGUAGAUGUUAACACUUUGGCUCGAUUCAAAAGACAUUUGCAGGAGGAGGAUAGUGUGGAAAAUAAAAAUGAGGUUGAGAGGUAUUUGAUUGAGGGUUGUGAGGAUCCUAAUGAUGAUAAGUUAGAUAUUUUGGUUGGUGGAAAAGUAAUGCUUUGAAAUAUAAGACACUUUCAAAGGUUGCACAACAUGUUCUGGCUAUUCCUAUAUCCACAGUGGCUUCUGAAUCAGCAUUUAGCACAGGUGGUCGUGUACUUGAUCAAUUUCGAAGUUCUCUAUCUCCAGCAACUGUUCAAGCACUCAUUUGUUGUCAAAAUUGGUUGCAUCAUGGAUCAAUUUCAACUGAUAUUAGAAGCUUGAUAAAUGAUCUUGAAACCUACGAAAACCUUGAGUCAGGUAAUUUUUUUUUUAUAAACUUGCACCUUUUAUUUUGUAAUUUAUUAAUUAAAUUGUUUGCAAUCAUCUAACAUGUCUAAUUUUUUAUUUUGUAGAAUUUGGUGGAAAGUUACAUUUAGUAACGGAUGAUAAUUAGUCCAAAAGUUUGAUGGUAAAAAACUACUUUUUAUUUUUACAUAUUCUAAUUUAUUUUAUCAUGUUAUAAUUUUAGAUCUUGAUUUUCAGGUUUUGAUGUCAAUGGUGUCACGGAAUCAAAGUGCAAUGUUCUUAUCAUCUUGAUGUGCUUUUUGAUUGUGAUGAUGUGAACAAUGAAGAUUUAUAUUUUUUGCAUGAAGUGUUUUAUUUUUUAUGACAAUGUUAUUUGUUGUUUGUUUUUUAAACCCUUUUGAAGGCAAUGCUUUGUAAUUUUAAUUUUAAUUUGGUGUGUGUGUGUGUGUGUUAAUUAAACUUUGAUGUAUUAGGAGUCCAAACUCCAAAACACAAAUAUUAGAAAGACUUGAAACAUAUUAAACACAAUAUUAACACUAAUAAUUUAAUAUAAAUUAAUAUUUAGUGACAAAAAAAUAUUAAAUAUAUUAUAGAAUUUUGUAACAAAAUUAGAUAAUAUUUACAUUAAUUAUAAGCCUAUUAGAAAGCCCAAAAAAGCCCAAAAAAGCCCAAAAAACAAUAAAACAGGUUUUUCGGUUUUUCUGUUAAAAAACCGAACGAACCGAACCGAAACCGGUCGGUUUGAACCGGUUUCGGUUUAAUUUUUAAGUUUUUUAAAAUUUGAUUUUGGUUAGUUUUUUAGAUAAAAACCGAACCGAACCGGUUUUGCUCACCCCUAGUGUUUCCGUUGGUUUUUACUAAUUUUCUAGUAGUGUUUAAGAGAAGUUAAAAAAAAAAAAAAAAAAAAACUAAGUAAGAGUUGACGAAGAAAAGAGAAAAGCUAAAGAAGAAAACAGAGAGAGAUAGGAUGAGAAAAAGUUUGGAACUCUACAAAUAUUAUUAAUUUAUCAAAAACUUACCAAAAUGUCAAAAAUUAUGUAUAAAAUGUAAAAUCAUAAUACAACCAACGAUUUUGCUUUUAAACCAUUAAAUAAAAUUAUCCAACUAAAAAACAUAAGUAAAGACUAAUUAAUAAACAAAAUAAAAAUACAAUAAUAUAGGCUCAGACAUGCUCAAUUUCCCAACCAAAAAGUGACGGGUUGGGCUAUCUUUCAGGGUUAUACCGAUCAAUGUCCAAUAGUAGAUGAAGAAUUUAAUGCAGAUGUGGCUAGGUUUUUUUAUCUUUUAAAAGACUCUAACGAACCAUUAUGUGAUAGGUGCACAAAUUACAAUAAAUUAUUGAUCGUUAUACAAGUGUUCACCCUCAAGUCAGAUCAUAGGUUAAGUAAGGCCAGUUACGAUAGAAUUGUUGAAUAGGUGAAAAACAUUUUACCUAAAAGAAAUAGGCUAAAAGAAAACUUUUAUGUUGCUAAAUCAUGAUGAAACCCCUCGGUCUGGAAUACUAGAAAAUUGAUAUGUGUUUAAACUUCUACAUCUUGUACUACCUUGAAAAUACAAAAUUGACCGAGUGCAUAACAUGUGGGCAUACUUAUUAUUAACUUAGAACUAGUGGGGGAAGCACUUUUGUUGCACAUAGAAUACUUAGAUAUUUCUCAAUCAUACCUAUACUGCAUAAAUUAUUCAUGUCAUCAAAGAUUGUUGAGCACAUGACAUAGCACCAAUCACAUGAUAUGAUGAAUUGAGUAAUGGUGCAACCUUUUGAUGGUGAAGCCUGCAAACACUUUAACAUUGUGCAUCCUUAGUGUUCAAUGGAGAUAAGGAACGUAUGUCUUGGGUUAUGUACAAACAAUUUCAAUCCAUUCAGGUCAUUUGCUACUCCUUACUCUUGUUGGCUGGUAAUACUUACAGUUUACAACUUGUUAUUGGGAUUAUGUAUGAGACCGCAAUUUAUGUUUUUAUCUAUAGUCAUACUCGAUCUUAAUUGUUUAGGUCGAAAUAUAGAUGUUUGUCUUUGACCAUUGAUUAAUAAGUGUAAGCAGUUGUGGUCAUUUAGGGCUUUAACUUAUAAUGUUUCGAGGAAACAUAAUUUUAUGAUGAAGACAACUUUGAUAUGAACUAUCAAUAAUUUUCCAGCUUAUGGAAUGAUUUCUGAUUGGAGCACACAUAAAAAACUAACAUAUUCAUAUUGUAUGGAAAAUAGCAAGGCAUUCACGCAAACAAUAGUAAAAUAUCUUUUUUUUACUACCAUCGGCGAUUCUUGCCAAUGGAUCACAAGUAUAGAAAGGACUUUUUUAUUGGCAGAGAUGAAAAGGAUAAUGCAUCGCAACUAUCAUUAGAGUAUGAUGAGAUUAUGUUUGAUUUUCAAUAUGGUAAACAAAAGUUUCUUAGUUUUGGUUUGACUUAUAAUUAGAUAAAGCAAAGUAUUUUUUGGGAGUUUCUUUAUUAGAAGACCAAUCACCUCCAUCAUAAUUUUAAUUUCAUGCACGUUGAAAAAAACGUGUUUGAAAAUAUUUUCAACAUGGUUAUAGACAUGAAAAGAAAGAUAAAGAACAACAUCAAGGCUAGAAUGGAUAUAUUUUUUUUUAUGUCACCGUAAAAAUCUGGAGUUAGUUUAUGAUGAAUCAUAAAUCGCAGAGUCCAAAGCCAGCUUUACCUUAGACAAGAAUACACAGUUACUUAUCUACAACUAGCUUAAGAGUAUCUAUUUUUCUAAUAGACAUGCUUCGAACAUAUCAAGGUUGGUGAGUUUAGAGGAUUGCAGAUUGUAUAGAAUGAAAAGUCAUGAUUGCCACGUGUAUAUGCAAACACUCGUUCCAUUAGCUUAUUAGGAUUUAUUGUGAAAAUGGAUAUUGGAUGCACUCACGAAAAUUAAUCACUUCUUUAGAAAUAUAUGCUCUAACAAGUUGCAGGCAUAACACAUGGGGAGGCUUGAAAUGAAUAUUGUCCAGACAAUUUGCAAAGUUGAGAUAAUAUUUUCUCUAUUAUUUUUCGACUCAAUGGAGCAUUUACCCAUACAUUUACAUUUACAAUUUAAGGCAAAAAUUAGUUUAAUAUAAAUAGAUAUAUUUAUUCAAGAGGUUAGGGAUUAUAUAUUUAUUGUAAUUAGAAUUUUAUUAUUUAAAAAAAUUCAAAUCAUUCAUUUAAUUCUGAAAUAAAGCAAUGUUGAAUGUUGUGAAUGACUGAAUAACCAAGCUCUAUCCACCGUCUCAGGUUUGUCAUCCCCCAACAUUCGGAGACCUGGCUCUUUCUGUGGUUGAGAAAACUCAGCAUAUGUACAACGAUUGGCCACAAUAUCUAUGUCUCCAACUAAUGCGCAAAACUAUUUCUCAAAUGAAAGGUAAGAAAAAAGAUACUGGUGGUGUAUAGAGUAGAACUCUAAGGAAUCAUUAUUGGCAUUGUCGGGAAAUGAAAUAAAAGAAUUUAACUAUUAAUUGAAAGCAAGUGUAUGAAAUAAAGAAACAAGAAAAUUACAUUGUAUGGAAACAAUAAAAGAAAAUUAUCGACUACAUCAGAAGAAGAAAUCAAAAUAUAAAGGCUUCAUAAAUAUAAAGGAUGUAAUCAAAUGGGGCUAGAAAAGAAAAGGCAAGCUCUUUGAGAUUUCUAGCAGAAAUUCAUACAAUAAUCACAGUUCCACUUGCGUAGGAUCCUGUGAUAGUAAGAAAUUUUGGCCAGACAAACAAACAAUACCUCACCUUGAAGAUAAACUUGCUACUAUCACAGAAGUAGCAUAUUUUUUGUUUGUUCUUGCAUUUUAAAAAAAUAUUAAAAUUUUUAUAUUUUUAUAUUAAUUUUAAAUUAAUAUAUUUUUAGUGUUUUCAAAUUAUUUUAAUGUGCUAAUGUAAAAAAUAAUUUUAAAAAAAUAAAAAAAAUAUUAUUUGCAUGUAUUUUAACACGAAAAAUUAUUUAAAAAUUAACCACAACCACAAGUUUUUAUGGAAUGAAGAUAUAUGACAAAUCAUAUGGUAAGAACUUCAGUGUAGCCUUGAAGACGGAUUCUGUAAAUCAUUCACACUCAUAUUGCUCCUGGACCAACAUAUCUAACAUCUACAAGACGCAGGUCUACCUUCAGGAAGUUGCAAACAUCAGUAGAGACCAUCUUCCAGGCAGCGACCAAGUGGCUUCUAGCAUACAUGGUUGUCCUAAAACUCUCGUCAGCAAAUUUCAAUUGCUAUCCAGAACAUUCUCUAGGAAAAACAAUUCCUAACUCCAGUACUAGAGUUCUCUAUAACUUUUGCAACAGCUUUGUCUAUACCAAAAAUACAAGUUGGAUUCUGUCAUUCAUUUCCAAACUUCUUCACUUGCAUGAACCAUUGCUCAUUUGCUAACUGUGGUGAGCACCGACCACAACCAUCGCUCAAGGUAAACAUGCUCACAAUUAUGCUUGAUGACACAGAAAUAUUACCAAAACAGAGAUCUGCAGAUGGCAGAACAGCAACAGUGUGCAGUAGAGGAUUUACUUUACAGCAUAUAUAGAAGUAGAGGAGAAUUUCAAGAUCACUUGUAACCCUCUCAGAGAAGAUAUAAGAAGCCAGUGAAGAAAAAAGAUUUCAAGGAAUACAAGAUAAAAUAUAUGAGAGAUUAGUUUAGAAAUUAGCUAAAGCUAAUUUCCACUUACAACAAUCAAUAAUGAUAAUUGAAAAGCUUCAUAACUUACAGCAAUUAUAUUUUUUUUAAUAUUUCUAAACUCUAACCCCAAAAGCAAUGUUCUUACAGAAACUAUUCAUACAAAGAUCACAACGAUCGUAUGGAUAACAAAACCAAAUAACUGAAGAAAAGACCCAAAAACAUAGGUUGAGAUAAUGAUAAACAAGAUGAACAACAAGAUGGCGGAAAGAGGAAAUAGACUAAAAGUUACAAGUUUUGGAGGGGAAAGUUAUCCAAAAUAAACUAUUUUCCUAUAUCAGAUUGCCUGUCACAAAGUGUUAUUCAGUUGUAUGUUUUUUUCUCAGUUAAUAAUCUCACCAGACAAUGAAAUUAACAUAUUAUUGAUAAAUCAGAUGAGCGGAAAUAGUUGUGGUAUCAGUACAUAGCAUUGCUCAAACGCAUACCACAUUUGAAGUUGAAAAGAAAAUGUAAGCAAACUAUGUGACAUGAAGCUUCAAUUCUAAAAGGUACUUAAUACAAAACUUCAGAACAUAUAUUAGACUACGAUAUGUCAAAAGCUGUAUCAGCUUACGUAAAAGAGCUCUCCUUUACCUACAUCUUCAAAGUCAAAACAGACUUGAGAGCAAUUCAUCCUUCUGUUGGAACACAUUCUUCCAUUGGAUCACAUCCUUCAGCAAGAGCACGUUCUACAACUGGAACAGAUUCUUCGGCAGAAGCCUGUACUACAAAUGGAACAGAUUCUUCGGCAGGAGCAGGGGCCGGUACUACAACUGGAACAGAUUCUUCGGCAGGAGCAGGAGCCCGUACUACAACUGGAACAGGUUCUUCGGCAGGAGCAGGAGCCCGUACUACAACUGGAACAGGUUCUUCGGCAGGAGCAGGAGCCUGUACCACAACUGGAACAGGUUCUUCGGCAGGAACCUGCACUACAGCUGAUUCUUCAGCUGAAACACAUUCUUCAGUUGGAACAGAUUCUUUAGCUGUAUUGCAGUCCUCAGUGGCAACACAUUCUGACAUCUCUGACACCUUUCGCUUUCCAGGCAUUUCCUUCAGGAGAUUGAAUUUUUCUCCAACAACCAGUAACUUGUCACUCAGCAACUUAACAGUAUUCUCAUAUCCUUCAAAUUUUGGAAUGCACUCUGCUUCAAAUUCCUUAACCAACUUCUCGAGAAAUACACGGUUUAGCCUUUCUUCUUCCUCUUGCUUCAGGCGCUGCUUCUCCAACUCCAUGGUGCUCAAAACAAGACCAGCAGACCCAGUAUCCUUAUAAAUCGGUUCUUCAGGUAGUCGGCAUCUUGCUCUGUAUUCAGAAAAUGCCUUGUGUGUCUCCUUCAAUGCCUUUCUAUAGCCCUCUAAAAGAUUUCCCAUCAUAUACAGUUCACGUUCAAGCCUAUAAACCUCCAACUGGCUCUUCCGCUGCUCUUCCAUCUUGGUCUUCUGCAACUGCUGAAUGAAGUUUUCACGCUGCUGCAACUCAUUAUACAACACCUGUUGAUGCAUACUCAUUUCCUGACAUGACUGCUCCUUUUCCUCCAUCAUCAUUCUGGCUUUUCCCAUCAUAUGCUGCAUCUCCUCCUCAAAACUAUCAAAGUCCGAAUAAGGCUUUGCAUCCCAAUGCCCAUCACUCCGCAUCCUCUUAUUACCACCAUUAAGUGAGUGAUGCGGUAUAUCACUCUGAAGAUGCUCAUUCACCCUCUUGUUUCCACCAACAUUACCAAAAAUUGAAGAACCACCUGGAAUUGUCUCUGUAUCAAUCCUAGAAAUUUGAAAUUCCCUGGAAGAUACAUUAUCAUGAAUUUGGAUACCUGAACUAAAAGGAACUUGAGCUGCUCCCAUCACCUCAAGAAGAUUCUCAGAGCUUAUGCCCUCCAAAAUAUUCCCUCUGGCUGCGAUAUGGAAACCAAUAUCUUCGUCCUCAUCCCCCUCCUCUUCGUCCUCCUCCCCUUCCUCUUCCUCUCCUCCCUUCCCCUCUUCCUCUCCUUCCUCUCCUCCCUUCCCCUCUUCCUCUCCCUCCACCUCAUCCUGCUGUUUCCUCUCUUCCUCAAAUUCCAUUCCCGCAACUUCACUAAAACUACCACAUGGCAGCAGAUAAUGCCCAUCCAUACUGAUCUUUCCCCACUGACCCUGAUCUUCUUCCUCUUUCCUCUCCUCAAAAUCCAUCACAUCCUCAUCACCCAUAUUCUCCACCUCUUCCUUCCCUGCAUUAUCUAUCCCUCCAAGACUCAACUCAAUUCUAUGCUCCUCUAACACAGAUGAUUCACCCCUAAACUCCUCUUCCAUCAUCACACUCUGCUCCAUCUUCGCACCCUCAUCAUCUUCAUCAUCCUUAACAUCAAUCUCCAUUUUAAGACUUCCCUCCUUCAACAACUCCUCUCUCUGGCACUUUAUCAAACACUGCAAAUGCGACGCAUAAUAACAAUUUCCUAAACCAGGUUCUGCAUUCAACUCUUUCUCUACCAUAUACCAAAUCAUUCCAGCCCAAUCCAAUUUGUCAAAGUUCCCUUCUUUAAUCAAUUUAAUCCAGUUCAAUAUAUCUGGCGGCAUCAUCCAAGUAUCCUCAUGUAACAAAAUCCAAUUUGACACCAACUCCUCUAUAAACCCAAUUGAUUCCGCACUCUCCGUAACCUCAGAUGCACCAUCUCCUACACUACCUUUCUCUUUCUUCACCGGUAACUUCAAAGCACGCCCUAAAUCAGCACGAUUGACCAUGAUCUUAACCUCAUUAACAUAACUACCCCGCAUCGCAGGAUUAUAUCCAGCAAUCAAUUGUGCUAGCAAAUCAGCACGAAUAUUAGUAUCAAAUUGCAAAUGCACAAAUUCCCACAAACCCAAUUUUUUUAAAAGGGUUUCAUGUGAAGCGAGGUCGAGGAUUUUGUUGGGUACAAAGGGGAUUGGAUUUAGGGUUUGGCUUAAAGUUUCAAGCUUUUUUUCAGACUUUUUAACCUGUACACGACGUUUUUGGUUAGCCUUCCUGCUUUUCCGUCCACCCCCAGCACGACGGGAGGUGGUGGUGGUGGUGGUGGUGGUUGUGGUGGGAGAGAAAAGGGUGAGGUCUUCGAAGUCGUCAUGGUUUUGGUUGGUUGGGUCAUCUUCUUGUGAGUUAGGGUUCGGGAUUUCAAGGGUCAGGGUUUUGGGGAAUUGGGUAUCAUCAUCAUCAUCAUCAUCAGGUAAUGUUUGUUGAAUUUGAUCUGGGUUUGCGUUGUUAGGGUUUUGUGAGAGAGUAUUUGGGUCUGGGGUUGAAUCUUGAGGGAGAGUUGGAGACGAAGCCAUUGGAAUGGAGUCGAGCUGGUGUGCUGUGUUUUUUUUCUUUUCUGCAUAAAUUAAGGAAGCACUAAUUUACUUAAGGUUGACUAAAAAGGACUGAUUGGGAUUCAUGUUCUUUUCGGAUUUUGAUCAAACUGUUUAUACGUGGACACAUUGAGAUGAUUUGAAUCUUGAUCAAUCUUUUUGAUUAUUUAAUGUUCUUGGUAUUUUACACUAUUUACUGUAUUUUGAAACAAAAUUAUCGAUGGAUUUUUUUUAAUGGACAACUAAUUCUUCUUUUUAUUUUGGUUCAUCAAUUUAAAUUAUCUUCAAGCUAAUUUUUAUAAAUAAAAAUUAAAUUUCUGACAGUUUUUAGAUUGAUAUUAUGCAUUUAAAUAAAUAGAUUUUCAAUAUUAAAAGAAAGAAUUACAUUGAUUGAGAUUUAUAAUUUUUUAUUAUUAUUAUUAUUAUUUUGAUCUUAUGACCUAGAUUGUAGGUUUGGUAAGUUGACCCGAGUAGUUUUUUUAUUUUUUUAUAUUUUUUUAUAUUAGAUUUAAUAGGAAUUGAAAUUCAUAAUUUAUUUUGAUUUUUUUUACACAAUCUCAUGAUUCAGGUUGUAAAUUUAAUAAAUUAACUCGAGUUAAUUUAAUAUACUGCAAUCUUAAUAUUUGAAAACAAAUAUCAUUUUAUAUAUCAUCAUAUCACUGUUUAAAAUAAAUAUAUUAUUUAAUAUAAUAUAUAUAUAUAUAUAUAUUAAGUUUAUAAUUAAGAUUAUUUUUAUUAGAAAACAUAUUAUCAAUACUUGGAUCUGAUUCACAAAACAACACAAACCAAUGAUCUAAUUUCCUCUUAUAUCAAAGGGUGAUUGCUUUGGACUUACUAAAGUACAUGGACACUUUAGUUACCUUUAUCUAAAAACUAAAUGCAAGGUUAUUUUGGGCUAUUAGCAUAAAAAUCUUAAAAAUUUAGCUGCAAAAAGUAUAAGUGAAAUAAUAUAGUUUGUGUUAUUUGGGUUUCAAAACGCAACAAAUAAAGAAGUCAUAAUUGAAAAAUGUGACAUUAUAUAAAUGUCAGAUUUACAAAACAUGACUUCUUUAUAUAUUGCAUUUUGAAUAUGUGACAGCCAUCAAAACACUAACCCCAACUGACUUCUUUAUAUCUUUUCAUUAUAUAUUGCUUCUUAAAGGGAAUUGUUUACCGUAUUUGUCUUAUUUCCAACAAGUGAAGGCAGUUGGGCUGCUGCUGUUAGGAUAAUGAAAAGAUUUUAUCCUAACAUUAUGAUUAUACAUUUUUUUUUAUCUCAAUAAUCUAAAGGCUAGAACUUUUUAUCAAGUUUAUUUUCAGCAUAAAACUUUCACCUCUACAAAUUAUUUACACACUAAUGGAGAUUUAAGCUAAGUAAAAAUUAUCCAUGGCUCGUCCACUCAAGAUUAGUCCACUCAAGAUUAAUCUUCUGGUAGCGACCUAGUUCUAAUGUUGUAUAAAUUAGAUUUAUUUUCUUAUAAAAUUAAAAAUUGUAUAAAGAUUACAUUUUUUUCAGUGUUUCUUUUCUUAUAAUUUAUAUGGUUUUAAAUUAACUUGUAAUCAAAAAAAAAUUUGGAUUUUUUGUGAAUUACAUAAUAACUAUAAUUUUUGUCCUAUUUUCAUUACCUGAAAUUAAUUUUUUUUAUGACACAUUCUAUAAUCAAGAUUUCAUUCGAAUUUAGGGUGAAUUAUAGAAUAACUCCAUUUAUUUACUUGAUAACACUUGUUUAAUGGUUAUUUGGUUUGUUAAUCUUAAAAUUAUUUAGUUAAAUCCAAGAUAUCAACAAUAUUCAAAUUAAAACUAAACUAUAAAAAAUAAUCCUACUAUCUUUGUUCACAUGGCAAUAUGUAAGAUUUUGGUUUCAAAUCAUUCUACUCCAAAUUAUAUCUAGAAAAAAAAAUCGAAUCUCAACUUAAUCAACCCAAAAAAUAUUAUAUAAAAUAAUAUUACAAAUAUAAUAAAAAAAACUAAAAUUAAUUAUAAAUUCAAAAUUAACAAGAUAACACAAUAUAAAACUUAUAAUUAACAAAACAACACAACAUAAUAUAUCAAUAACACGUAAGCAAGUUUAUAUAUUUAUGCCUACAUCAUCUACGGGAAGGAUUGAGUUCAUUAAUAGCACAAUUGCCUCCUACUUAAAUGACCUUGUUCUCGACCGUGACAUCAUCAAGAGUUAAAAUCUCUUUGAAGUUCACAAGUGCAGUGCGGCAAGCACUGAACCAACAAAAAGCAUAGAUGUAUCCUUCUUUUUCUUUAUCAAGAUUAAGAAACACAUAUACGACCUCUCGACCUUUAUAUAAAAAGAAGUCAGCCUAAAAUUCAUCAAAUUAAUACAUUAAAGGUUCUAUAUAUAAAAUGCAUCAUUUAAAUUAUAUUUAUUCUAAAAAGUUAAUAUUACAUGCAAUAUUUUGAAUUCACUAUGCAUGUUGCUCAUAUUGCAAGUCUUCCAGUUGAGGAACCUAUACGGGUUCUAGUGUAAUAACUCGACAUGUCAGACCUAUAUUUUCCUUGAUAAUUUAAGGCAUGCAAUGCAUCACUCAUAUCAAUAUCACUAGAAUAUUUUGUCUAUACCUAAAUCAUUACAUUCCCAAUCAAGGCAAUAUAGCUCAACCAUCACAAAAAAAAAAUAUGGGAUCACUAUUAUCCAUAUAUCCAUCCUGCUAGUGUAAAUUGCAAGCGCAACUACUAAUUUAUCAUCUUUAUAUGGAGCCCACAUUCCCUUAAACACAGUCUUCAAACAUAAAACGAUAAUAAUUAGUAAAAUUUAAAUUGAAUUACAAAAACAAUUGCUCAACACAUACCUGGAAAGGUUGCUACCCAUCAAACUCACUCCAAUAAAAUGACAGUGCAUGUUUGAGAUUAUUAUCAAAUACCUUAAUCCCACACUAUCUAAUAUUAUAAAUCACAAGCUUACAUGCAUCCUAAUGAGAGAUGAAGUGUAACACCCAUAGUUUAGAUAGUCACAACUAGUUUCCUUAGAAUCCAGGGUUGAUCCACAUGGAGAUGAUCUCAGGACCAUAGUUGUUUCAAAAACAUAUGGGUGAUUUUUUUCUUAUUUAUUAUAAAUAGUUGAAAUGUAAAUGAAAUUUUAAGUUAUUUUAUUUGUAUUUGUAAAAAUAGCAAACAUUCCUCAACUUGUUUUGUCAUUUUCAUGAAAGCAAUGCAUAGAUAUCUAUAUAGCCAUGCCAAGAUAAUAAGAACCCCAAGUAUAUAUGGGGAUCACGUCAAAAUCCUUAAAAAAUGUUAGAUAAACAUGAGGCAUAUAUUUAUCAAUAAGAUAUGUGAAUGGAAUGUUGCCAAACAUGUGUAGUAUAUACAUCCUGGCAUACCUAUAUAAGCUUACAAUCAUGAGACUACUAUUUACAAAUACUUAAUAAACUAAAAUCACAAUUUAAUGUAUUUUUGCACAAGACCUCAUCAUCAACAUCAUUUAGUUGUAUUGAAAAUAUCACCUCAAGUCAUUUUAAGGUGUAUUUUACCACCUUUUAAUUUAGUAGAAAGGGGUGUCACUUCAAAUGUAUGCUUAUAUAGUGCAACAUGAUUAUAUGCCCCUUGAAUGUGAAUGUUCGUCCAUUGAUAAAAAAUCCAAGUAAAAUUAUCACAUCCUGCAAAGUGGAUGUCAUUUCCCCGUUCUUAAGGUGGAACAUGUACAUCUCACAUCGCUAUCUCUCAAUCAAUGCAUUGAUCGAGUUGUGAUAAAACUUGAUGUCCUCAAGAUAACAAUGAUAGUAAAGCCUGCCUAGAACAUAAAUAGCUUAAUCAGAUCUUAUCAAGAGCAAUAGUAGCACCGUAAUCAUAUAACAUAAAGAUUUUAUAAGACAUCCUACAGAAAAAAAAAAUUGAUUCCAAUCCAUCUAACAUAAAUCAAUCAAAUCCCUAAUUUUGGUAACUUAGCCAAUAGAUCAAUGCAAAGCAUGAUUGAUCAAAACUAAACCUAAUUCAUAUUAUUUUCAUGCUCAUUUGCAUGAAUUUAAACCUAAUUAUAUAAAUUCUUAGUUAAUUAACACAAAUCAAUUAAAAAUAUCCAAUUUUGACAACUAAUUUGACAAAUAAAUGCAAAGCAUAAUUGUCAAAAUAUAACCUAAUUUAUGUUAUUUUAAGUCAAUUACAUGAAAUCAACCUUAAUUAUAUAAAUUUAGAAACAUUCAAUAGAUAUGAUUCUGAAACAUAACAACCUUAAUUGUUGUGAUUCUGAAUCGUAAUAUAUACAAACUAUGUUAUUUCUUCAAUUAUUUUUCAAACUAUGAUAUUUGAUAUUUCGCUAAUACUUUUUAAUUUACUUUACUAAUUUUUUUUUUUAAAUCCAAAUCCGGGGAAAAAUGAAAGAAUUUUCUCGCCAUUAACUUAUAUUCUAAACAUCAAGUAAAGCAUUUUGUCUCUACCCCAUAUCUCCAAAAUGCAAAACGUCUUCAACCCUGCAAUGACACUACUACUUCUAAUCCAAAAAUCCAACAUCUUACAAGGACAUUUAUCAUGAAUAUUUCCACAUAAAGAAGGUUAAAAGUUGUUCUGAUAAUUCCAUAACCUAGCAUCAUUCAAAAGAAGGAUAUUGAUUUCCAGAGUUAAAUAAUUUCUAAGGGAAAGGAUUGGGGAAAAGGAUGUCCAUCCCAAUCCAGCUCUGUAGCUUUCCAGCUUCAGUCAACAGAUUCUAUCCUUGGAAAUUUAAGCAAACAAUGUGCACCCAAGUACAAAAAACCAAGUCAUAUGAAGACAUGCUCAGUCACGACUAAGAAGAUUCAGUCUUGUAGUCAUAACAGUAACAUUCAGAACCAUUGUAAAACCAAAUUUGAGUCAGAGCCAUCUCUGCAAUGAACAAGAUGAAAAAUGGAUUAAUUUUUUCCUAUCUCGGACAAUGUUGCAAAUGGUCAAUUUGCUGCUCUCUCUACCAACCAAGAUAUGAAUUUAGAAAGAUCUAUUAGCAUGUAAAUGUCAAAAACAUGGAAAAGAAACUUCUACUGGAACAAAAAUGCACACCAUUCCAGAACAAUUUUGAACGUAGGCACUUUAACUCAGAGACUUGAGUUCUUUUGAAGCAGAAUGAUGCAUUUUUUGGCAUAAUUUACAUAGCAUUUCGAGAUAAUAAAGUAGUGACAUGAAAGGCAAUCCAAAAAAUCACAACACUAGUUUUACAAGUAGUGAGUUCCUUUCAAUUUCAUAAAAGUCGUGCUCUUUCUAAUUCUUCAUAAUAUUAGUCCAUUGAUGCCAACUAAUUAUGCAAUGAUCUCAUUUACAACAAGACAAAAUACAAGACUCGACAUGGACAGGUUCAAGCCUGACAAUUCAUUCACAGAACCUAAGAUAUUCAAUUUCCCCCCGGCCUUAAAGGCCUCCUGUCCUCACUAUUACUGUUGCGAUGGGGCAUAGUAGCAAGAACAGAGACAGAAUACAAGAUAAGACUUGCUAUCCUCACUAUGUUUUUGAUACCUAGCUGUUACACGUACAGAUCACCACCAUUGCUGUCUGGUUCAAGUCUCCUUUUCAUGUUAUCCCCAAUGGUUUCAGUUCCAUAACCAUGGGUUGAACUUGGAAUUUCUACCAAACCCAUUUAAUUUUGCUAAUACAGAAAGGAAUUUUGUUCGAUCUAAUAUGAUAUUAUCAGUAUUAUUCAAAACAGAGAAGGAGAAUGAGAUGAUGUUAUAAGUUAUAACAAGAAGUUUAUGAAAACUAGCCUGAUUGAUGCCAAAAUAGAGAUGAGAGACCACAGAAGAAGGAAAGAGGCAGAUCACAGACGAAGUGAAGAAACAAAAUAGGUGUUUUGAGAAAGAGAGAGAGUGGAAUUGUUGAACAGUGGAAUCAUGUGCUAGUGCUACUUAAGAGUCUUGAGACGUAAAUGCUAAAUGCUAAUUGUAUAUUUCUUUCGAAAUUGAUAUAUCGGUCCGCGUUUAUUGCCUUGAUUGAGUUUAAUUGAGUUUGAUUAAUUUUUAAAAUUUUAAUUUAAUUUUAUAUAUUAUAUAUAUACGUUAACUUAUAAAAUUAUAUAAUUUUAUUUUAUAAGUCAAUUCGUAAUUUUAAUACCCUGAAACAAAAGAUGUAAUCAUGUGCAAACCUAGGGAGGGUCAAAGUAAUUUUCCCAUCUUAAACUUCCAACUUAGAAAAAAAAAAAAAAGGAAAAAAAACAACCAAACCUUCUAUUUUUCGAAUUGCCGACACAGUGAAUUAAGCCAAACUAAUAAUUAAUGGCUGUAAACUUUGUAAUAAUAAGUGCAGAUGCAACUGAUUGCUUAGGUAGUUAAUAUUAAUUCCUUAAACCUUUCAAAUGUGUAGUAGGAAGAGAAAGCUGCAAAACGUACAGGUUGUCGGGGGCAUAGUGAUAAAUCAAAACCAUUAGUGUUUCUCUUGGAUGAUCAAAUGGUUCCUGUGGCUUGAAAACAAAAUUGCUUUUAAAGAAGCGGAAUUUAACCAAAAAAAAACUUGAAGGAACCUGUUAUUUUUAAAGAAAGAUAAAUCUCAUUAAAAUAAAAUAUUAGAGAAUGAAAUCUAAAAAGAAAAGGAGCUUAAAAAAAGAAAUAAAAAAACAAGCAACUUCGAGUGAACUUUAUAAACCCGGGUUAUACCCUUAAACUCGUAAUCCGUUAAAUUUUUUACUUAGUCUCAACCUAAGAGCUUAACACUUAAAAACUAAAAUGUCAAAUGAUGAAAUUAAUAAAUUUAAUUCAAUUUAAAAAUAAAUUUCCUUUAAAAAAGCUAAAUUCAAUAAUAAUAAUAAUAAUAAUAAUAAGCAAGGCAACUCGUGUUAUUUUCAAAACAACUAAAAAAUCCCAUAGAAAGUGAAUUUAAAAAUAACAAAAUGCUAUAGGGUGGAAAAAAAGCUUUAAAAAAAGGGAAAAAAAAACCAAGGAAAUCCCAUGUCAACUUUGUAAAUCGAGGUUAAUUUUUUAAACUCGUAAACCGUUAAAUUCUAGACUCAGAUUCAAUUAAGAAACUAAACAUCCAACUAAAUAAAUAUUGGAAGAUGAAAUAAUAUAAAAAAUCUUGCAAGGUAAAAAAGAAUACAAUAAUAAUAAUAAAAAAAGGAUUAGAUUUGACAGGAAAAAAAACUAAAGAAUGAUAAAAUUGCAAAAACUAUUUUAAAAAAAUAAUAAUCAAAAGAAUAGGAACCAAUUUGGAUAAAUGAAAAUAUUUAUUGGGGAUGAAAUUGAAAAAAUUCUUAAUUUAAUAAAUUAUUCUAAAUAAAAAAUUGCAAUAAAGAGAACAUGGAUGAAAUUGAAAAAACCCCUUAAUUUUAUAAAAUUAUAAAUCAUAAUAAAGAAAACAUUGAUUAAAUCUUAAGUACAACAAACAUUAGAGGUUGAUUUGAUUUUUUUAAAGCCAACACCAAAAGGGAAAACAAAAACAAAAGGCCACACUUGCCCCUCCAGCCACCUUCGAGCUACACAUGCUGCCUACACAUGCUGCUUACUUGUGGAAGGGAUGUUGAGACGUUUAAUCACACCGCAUACAAGAUAACCCUAUAUAAAGAUAAUUGAAAAAAAAAAUCAUAACGCUCAAGAGUCAAUAAUUUAUUGGCAAAGGAAAAGAAUUAUAAAGAAAAAUUAUCAUUCAUACAAAAUAAAAAAUUCAAAAAUUAAAACAAUGAAGACUAAAUCUUUUACAAAAAAUAAUUCAAAGAAACUAAUUAGUGAUUAAACUUAAAACCAAAAUAAAUGAAGGAUACAAAAAGAGCAAUAAAAUAUGAAAUAAAAUUCUAAAGGAAAAAAAUAAAAGAAAUCAAUAAUUGCAAAUGAUAAAAACAAUCAAUCAAAAGAAUAAAGAUCAGAUUGAAUAAAAAAAUUAAAUGAAAUUAAAUGUUGAGGAUGAAAUUGAAAAAAAAAACUUCAAAAAAUAUUAAACUCAAAAUAAAUAGAAAAAAAAAUAAAGACCAAAUUCAAAAUAAAUAUAAAAUGGAAGACACAACUGAAUUUUUAAAAGCCUGUAUAAAUAUCAAAGCCCACGAAAAAAAAAAAAAAAAAAAGGAAAAAAAAACCAAAAGUCCUCGAACCCCCACCUUUCCUCACCAAAUGCACCAUCUUAACAUCUGCGUUGCCACCUUACAUGUUGAAUGAGAUAGCAAUUGACAUUUUGUGGCCAACAACGUGUGUAAGCCUAUUUUAUUAAUUUAUUAAUAUUGUAAUAAUAUAACUUACUAAAAUGGCCCUAAGAGCAUAUUAAUAUUAAAAAAAAAGUCAUGCAACAAAGACGAAAAUAUCCUCAAAAGGCAGCCUUAGUUUUUUCUGAGUGAGAGCUUCUAAAGAAAAAACUAAUUUUGUGUGAACUUCCAAGGGUACCAAUGUAAUUUUAUUAUAUAAAAGAUACAGGAAACCUUGAACGAAAGGCCAAAUUUUUUUAAUCUUAAUGGAAAAGGAGUAUUUUGACUGUAUAUUUUUAAAGGUAAAUGAUAAAAUUACCCAAAAUCAAUUUACAAAUGAUAUUUAUAUCAGAAAAAACAACUUUACCUUUGCUACCGACGCAAAUAUUGAGUGCAAUAAAGGGAAAAUAAACAUUAUAGUUUUUGAAUCCACAAUAAUUAGCUCCUCAACAAGUGUGAGGCCUUUUAGGGUUUUAUAUAUAUAAUAUAUAUAGACAGCCGUGGGCCACCUAUUUUGAAAAUUCUGACAAGGAUUUGCCCAACCUUAUACUGUGUAAUCAAUUUUUUUGAGGAAACAUUAUCCAGUGCUUGCAGGUGCACAUGCCGCGCAUGUAACCCGUUCUCUAGCAUAAGAGGACGACCAUAGUUGUUGUGCUGAUCAUAAACUCCCUCGUAAAAGUCUCUGUGUCUCUUGAAACCCAAUCUGUAGCCUAUCUUUUCUUGUUAUGGAGUUGUUCUUGGCAAUGCUUCCACUAUUAUUGUGCUAUAUUAUCUUCAACCUUUUUAAGUUGGGAUACCAAAAGAAAGAUCAGUGUUGCUAUAUGCUAAGCUAUGAGUGCCAUAAAGCCAC
This 51327-nucleotide long non-coding RNA is filed under the name Populus tremula. Its description in RNAcentral is "long non-coding RNA (PTRE_LNC000799)". The record is from RNAcentral. Lineage: Eukaryota; Viridiplantae; Streptophyta; Magnoliopsida; Malpighiales; Salicaceae.